Molecule: non-coding RNA, 71076 nt
Organism: Xyrichtys novacula (pearly razorfish)
Lineage: Eukaryota; Metazoa; Chordata; Actinopteri; Labriformes; Labridae
Source: the annotation of a GenBank genome assembly
CGCCACCGUCCACUCGGUGUUUCUCAGCAUUGUUGUCAAUUCCACCCGCGAAAAGUGCACUUCUAGCUGAUAGUAUUAUUAGCCUGCCUUGUCAGUUGAUGUUGUGCUUGAAAACGCUCACAUAAGGACGCCUUCACGGCUUUAGGAAACACCUCUGAGACUCCUCACCAAGUGUAAGGUAAGAACUAGCUGCUUUUGCAAACACCAUGCUGGCUCCCUCUGAUCGCUUGUUUUGUAAUAUCUCUCUGUUACCACUGAAUGGUUUCAUGUCAUUCUACAUAUUGGCUGGGCUGGGUUUUCCUUUUGUUGGAUUAUGAUGCUGUAAUGCUUUUACUUGGCAUGGUGGUAAAAUGGUGGCUGUUUCAAUAUGGGAGUGAUGUGGGAUGAAUUUGUUUUCUUGCAGAAUAUUUCCCCCCAGGUUGCUUGUGUUGUUUUUGUGGAGUUGCCAGUUGGCUCACAGCAAAUUGGGUCUCAAGUAGGAGGAUGUUGCUGUAUUGUAUUUUUGCUUGACAAAGUACCUUUUAUUGCACAGUAGAAUUCUGUGAAAUGUCAACAGAAUUACUGUCUGGCAUAAGACCCAUCCAGGUAUAGAAACUCUGUUAUCUUGGCUAUAAGAGAAGCCUUACAUUAUAGCAUUAUGUUGUGUUUACAUCUUUUUGGUCCUAACACUAGAUGAAUAUUGAGUUUGUGACACAUAACUCUACGAUUUUUUAAAUUUUGGUUUAAUGUGUGCAGUAGUACUAAGGUUGUCAUUCAUGAUUUACUAAAAUGUGCUUCUUUAUGUCAGCCAUGUGUAUAACUGCUGCCAUAUUUUGGGGUAAAUUUGGCUGUAUCUUACUAUAAUCCAGGAGUUCAUCAUCCUUAUACACUGUGUGUACAAGCUAUUGCUGCUAUAACACCCCAGCAUUGCUGUUGCUUCUCGUUCAGCAUGUAUAAACCCGACUUCCACCCAGGUACCCACCUGAAGGCUCUGAUAUCCCCAUGGACAAGUUUAUCAUUGUCACUUGGCAGUGCUGAGGUUGGUGUUUGCUUGCAGGUAGUGAUGAGGUCAGUCUCCAGACACAAAAUACAAUCUGUACUACUCUAUAUCUGCCCAGUAAGACAGCCAGUCACCCAGUAAAGGGCUUGGUUGAAUUACCUUGUCCUCAGUGCCUCAGUGCUGGUGGAUGGCUUUAAACCUGUUGUGUGGAGCACUGUUUCCUGUCAAAAUAACGCCACCCUUACCAAAUCAGUCUGAGCCUUGAGAUAGAGAGCACAACACACACACACACACACACACACACACACACACACACACACACACACACACACACACACAGGUGGAAACACACUGCAGUACAACACCCCAAUAAGAUUAUUUUCAACCAUUUUUCAGGUCUCUUUCACAGCAAGUUAUUUGUACCCAUCUCAUGUUCUCGCCUUUUGUUUUCAAGUUGCUUUGUUUUGUAUGCUUCACAUGCACUUUGAUGCAAAAGAAAUUGCCUUUUCUGGAUAAAAUGAAAGUGCACUUGGUUAGAGUGAAUGAAUAAAUGAUUAAGCUUCAAGUACAGCCCAGUUGUCAUCUCUGCCAUUUAGGGAUUUGCAACAGUACCAGUUGAAUGAGUGUUUCUUUUCAUUUCUUUGCAGCAUACUGGUAUUGAAGUAUUUUGUUUUUUGAAAUAUGGAGCUUUCUGUACUGUGUUGCUCCCUUCAAAAUUGGCAAAUUUUAAAAAUGCAGUUUGAACCAUGUCUGAGACUGUGGUGUUGUAGGUGAAGGUUUUUGAAGCAUGAUGUUUAUUCGAAUCCAUCUUUGCAAAAGUAUGAAAAGAGAUGGUUAUAAAAGCGUGAAACUGAUAGGCUAAAGCUGUUGAUUUUGAUGAGUGAGUUCUUCAAUUCAGUGUGAAAAGCACUGCUGCUGGUGUGCUGCUUCAACUGACUUUUUUGUCAUUGUCAACAAGGAAAAGUGAUGCCAGAGAAACUGCUCGAAAUGACACUGUAGAGGUAAAAUUCUGUCUCUGUACUGCUCCAUCCCUAAUUAUUAAAUUAAACAUAAUGCAGACCAGCUCUUCUUCGUCCUGCAGUCCUAUUAUAUCCUUAUCUGGUACUUGUGGUUGGUAUUGGAUUUCUGUGUUGUACAUUUGCAUUCCGACUGCAGUUUUUGUUGAAAAACACUUGUUGAAAGGAGCGUGGACUGUGAAGGACAGCAAACAACUCCUUUUGUACUUCCUGGAUUUUAGAUUAAGCUAACCAUUGUGCUAAAAAUCAAUUUCAUAUGUUCAAGGCCAAGCCUUUCUGAUUGAAUCCAUUUUCCGUUAAAAUAAAUGGUUUCAUCCACUGUUUAAUCAAGGGCAGCUGCAAAUCUGAUGAAACGUUCUGCUUUUGACAUUCAGGGAGGACAACUAGACAUAUCUUCUCUCUAUGUGUCAGUGAAAUAAAAGACAAAAUCCUGCUUGAGAGCUAAAGUGCGCACAGGUCAGGACUAUGGAUCCAUUCCAAAUGAGCUUCCACCUUAAUUAUGGGUUUCCUUUUAGAUAAAAAUGAUACAACUUAAUUUGUAAUGCACAAAAUACAUAUCAGUGAAAGCAAAAGUUAGUAGAAGCACAUGAUAAGACAAACGAGCGUUAUAUUUUCCACAGCAAGGACUCGCUGUUAUUGAGAUUUCUUUGACAGUUUCUGUAGAUAAAAAAGGAGCAAAUUUUCAUUUAAAUAACUCAGCUUUGACAUACAAAACAAGGUCAACAGAGAAGAAACGAGUGUUGCUUUGUUCACAAGGGUUGCCAUGAUUGCCCGAAAUGAAAGUUCCUCACAUUAACUUGCAAUAACAGAAAAGCUGGAUUUUGGACCAAGUAAUGGUAGAGUAGAAGAAGGAAGAAAUUUCGUUUCUUCACUUGUCCACUUAACUACCAGUCAGAGCAACGGAAUUUAAGACCUACAGCAGUAGGCUGCUAAGCUGUCUGUGUACUUAAAACAUCCAGAUCAGAGGGACUUAUUUUAACUGGGGAUAGACGGAUAUGGGGCUGAUAUUAACUAUUAACUCCUGUUAAUGAUGUUACAUAUUCUAGUUUUUAAUGAACAUUUGCAUUUAGGAAAAGUUUGAGUUUGUAAUAUUUCAGUUUCUAAGUUUUGACUGAACUUUUUGAAUUCUUGCUGUCAUUUAUCAUCAGUUCCCAAUAUCAGUUAUGGUUUCAUGAGCUACAAAUAAUUAGUAGAGUAUUGGCCUUAAAAAACUAUAUUGGUCAACCACUAACUUUAACUUGAUACACUGAUAUUUGCCAUGACAUGACUGAAUAACCAGACUUACCAUUUUGUUCAGUUUGUUUGACUGGGAUUCAGUCAAACAAACUGAUCAGUGUUUCUCAUUACUAGCAGCCAUUUUUGUGGAAAUGUUUAAAGGGUGCUUAAACAUGCCUCAUUUUAUAAGCACUUGUACUCGCCAAGUUACUCUCAUGCGUAUGUGAAACAUCACAAAGCUUAUUUUACACCCCUUGUUUAAACAGUCCAUAGGAAACAAUAUCCAGCCUAAAACUAGACCAGUGCUUUAAAAAAAUCCUCUUGACUGCUUGUGUCUUGUAAAAGGUAAUUGAUUUCUCUCUGCGGGUGUUAAAAAGUAAUUUCCCUCAGCUUAACAUUAUUAAGAGGUAUGAAUCAAUGAGGUUCAGUAAAGUAUAACUUUGUAAUUAUCACUUUGUUAGCUAAUAAAAGCCUGACUUUACAACUGAGACUGAAUGAAAAACACGAAAACAGAAAAUCAAAGUCUUGGUUUCCUCAUAACAAAGAGAGAAAAUAGUCUGAAAUAGGAAAUGUCUGUCUUUGUCUGGAAUUCCCAAUGAGCUCACCAGGUAGUGAAACUGUCUUUCUACUGACAGAAACAUUCAGAUCUCUGUUGUGUUUGACAUUCUUCCAUCGAUGUCUGAAACAAAGUCAAAAAAAAAAAACCAAAACGGAAAAGAUUGAAACUUUUUUGUUUAGAUUUGUUUUCAUUUGUUCCUGAUGGCAUAUUGAUAUUUUAUUUGAUUAUAUAAGUAUAAAUAAGAUGGUGAUAUUGAGUUUCAUUCAGCCUAAAAAAAACUUAGCAAACACUUUGAUCACAGUCAGAAGAAAAGAUUUGAAACAUUUGUUGCAGAGAUUUGGCUCUUGAUUACAGUAGAUUGCACAGGUGUUGCUGGUAUUGUGUCCAACCUCUGCGGGUACUUGACGCUGUGAUUUGCAGCAAGUACUAAAUUGUGUGAAAGCACAGCUGUGAAAUGCAUUUGACAGAUGUAUCUGGCGAAUGGUUGAAAUGAGGGAUGAUCAAAGUGUGACAGAACAGGCACAGGUCCCAUUCACAUAUCAGCCGCAGGGAGCCAGGAGCAGCAGAGCUCAAGUGCGACAUUGAGAGGCAGCAGGAUUGUCUUCUGAUUGAGCUGUGUAGCAUUAAAGAGACUCAUGACUGGCUGACACGCAGCGCCGGUCAAAUGAGUCACUUUUUUUUUUUGUUGGUUUAGAGCUAGUGACAUAAAAUAGUUUGAAAAUAUUUUGUGUACUUUUCACGCUGUAUAAACCUUGUGUCCUUGUAAAAAACUGUAUCCUGUAUAAUUUUUGGUCGAUGUUGUAGACAAUGUUCAUAUGAAAGGGGAAUUAGAUUUUUAUCUACAACAAGUGAACUGAUCCAUGACAGACCAAAGUUUAUACAUUUUUGACCAGUUUUUUAAUGCUUUUUGAUUUGAACAUUAUUGUUUUUCCAUUUCAUGGCUAAGUCAGUCCUAAUCAGCCAUUGAAAAAGUGAUAUCAGUCGACUCAGUAGUCUAAAUUCAGGGGUCUAAUGGGACAUUACUACUAGUGAGCACAAUUGAAGAUGGAAUUUUAAGUCUCUUUCAAAGUAUUUACUCAAAUGGGGAUGUUCAUUAGUGACGGAUUUCCAAGUCAGUGAAUAAAAAUUAAAUUCAGACCAGCCAAUUAGUCGAAAGAUGAGCGAACACUCAGGAGUCAGUCAGAUUGAGCAGAUUGUAACACAGCUGAACAGCGUUCAAAACCGUCUUGUGUGUCGUCCUUUUGAUCACUAUUUGAAAUCACUUUUUAAUAAUUAUAUUGACAGCUGUUUGGAUGCAGCUGAAAUGUGCAGCUCUUUGCACAGUAAAGUAUGAACACUUACCCUAUCAACCACAUCCCCAAUUUAUACUAUAUAAUUGAUAUGAUCAAAUUUUGUUGUAUGAACAACAGGGUGAGCCAGACACCAGUGUGGUCACGUAAUGGUACAGAAACAGACUAAGCUAAUUCAGAAGUAUAAGAGAUAAGUUGACGACCACUUGAAGACCUAUAUGCUAACUAAUACAUGCCGCAGAAUUUUUGGCUUGACGUUCAUCUCUGAUGGGGAGUCAGCCACGCUCGACUAUCCCUCCUGCUCCUGAUUUUCUGGCAUGUCCACAUCCCAGCGUGCUCGGCUCUCCUGCUCCUGGAGGGGCUGCGUGGGAGUGAUAGACGGUUAGCAGUGACAUCCUAAAUCAGCCGUAUAGACUGAUCAAAGUGUGCCAUUGUUAGACUGAAAUUGGACUUGGGCUGGCAGCGGCGAAGCUCAAUAUGAGGCAAGUUUCUGUCCUGUCUGCUCUCAUUUCCAGCUCAGGGUUGUGAAUGAUUCAUCAUAGGGAGUGUGGAAAUGAUGGAGGAAAAGUUCAAAUAGAGAGUGACAAAUUCUUGGUUGAGAUGUCUGUACCAGAGGGGGCGAGAGGUGUUGUUAUUCAAAUGCAGAUCUUAAGUCUUUGAACACUCUAUGUUAGCUGCUUCUGUUCUGAGGAGAUUUCCUACCUUUUGUGCUUUAGCUUUCUUUUCCCUUUUUCUCUCUGAAUUGUAAUUCAGCAACUGACUUUUUUUAUUUCACAGCUUUUAGAUGUAGUGAAUGUCAUACUACUUGCAUGCAGUCACUUGUAUAAAGUGUAUGCGAAGCCAAAGAGAGCACCAUAUUUAUGCAAAGCGGCUGGCCCGCGAUACUCUAACACUGUCCUCUGUUUGUUUCUUCUUGAAGAUACGAGAUACUCUCUGAAUGGUAUCCAAGGCUAUCUUUAUUCAAAGACACUGUUGCUAUGUAGGACUGUUGCUAUGGAGGAGUCACCAACCCUUUUCAUUGAGCAGGAUGGCUGUAGCCUCGCCACAGGGAGGAGCCCUUUCUCUCUCUCUCUCCCUCUCUUUCUCUCUCUUUCUUCUCUUCCUCCUGUGUGAUUUUUUUUCCUGAGGUGAACACCCUAGGGUAGACAGCAGGGGGGCUCCUUCCUCACAUUGAUAAAAAUAAAACAGUGAGUCACUCAAGAUAAGAAGAAAUGGAAAGUUCAAGAAGUGGCCAAAGUGUGCAACUCUGCAGUACUGCAGCAUGGAGCUCAACAGGUGAAAGAUCUGAAUGCUUUAGUGCUGGCUGUUGUCUGUCCCCCUCCUCUUUGUGUUUGUCUGUGAGUAUUAAAUCAAAUCCCACAGUUUGCACACCUUGAAGGCCUACAGGCAGCCAAUAUUCUCCUCACUUUGGAAAUAUGCCCCAGAAACAGGUGCUUUAUUGCUUUUGAUUAUCAUUAAUUUCCUGAUGUAUUGUAAUCUUGUGCAAGAGGGAUGCAAGAAGUGCAAAAAUAUGUCUGGGAAAGAAAGUUAACUUUUAUUUUGAAACAACAAAUGCCUGUCAGACAGCCUGGGCUGUCAAACAGUCUUAAAAUCCCAGACUUUUGUUUCAACUUGCCCUAUAAAAUUCUCACUGAGGUGAGUAAUAAGAUUGGCGGCGUUGGAUGUAGCAGGAGAGAGCAGCUGUAAUAUUCAGUUUUCACAUGAACAGCCAGCUUUAAAGAGAAUUUUGACUUUAUCCUUUUUGUAAUGACAUGAGAGGAGGGAUUUAUAAGUUACAAGGAUUAGGACAGCGUGUCUGAGGAAUGUGCUUGCUACUAGGAGAUACUUGUUGAUUGGUAUUUUAUUAUUCUGCUAUAAUAUCAAAUUUAUGGGAGCUAUUAACACAGGAUUCAUAAAAGUAGCCUGAGAAUUUAGAGGUUCAUGUAUUUACUGUGAACAUUUAGCCAUGCUUUGGUUUUACAGCUGAGUGUACAAUGGGGUGGCAUAACUGGGUGAACACCGUAUCUCUAUAAAGUCACCAAGUAUGGAGACAGAACACAGUGUUGGUCCUGCUAUAAAUUCGGCCGCCAUGAUGGGCUUUUUUUUGUGAUGCUGUUAAACUGUGUUGCAACUCACCGAGAGUUUGUUAUUGAUGCUUCCUGAAGCGGAUGGAGAAAAUAACACCUGUCAGUGAAAUGCAGUACACUGCAACGUAACCUCAAAGGUAAAUAAACAGCUGCUCAGAAAAGUUUCAACAAGACAUAAAAGACCUCAUCUUGGUGAGAGUAGAAUUGGCUGCAGGACUUUUUGUAUUAACCUGCAUCAGUUUGCAGAUGGUGUAAGAUUACAGAGUAAACCUGUAAAGUCCAACAUAGACUGCAACCUACCUUAAAGACCCGCUCCGAUGAAUUUUGUUUUCUUGUUGUCUGUAUGUUCGAAUUGCAUUUUGUAAUGCUAGAGGACAUACCACAAAAAAAGAGCAAGUGCGAAAUUGCAUUUCUGAGUAUUUCUGCAUUCAGAUUGUUGUGAACCUCAGGCAGUCGUCCAACUUGCAGGUCAGAUUUCAUACGUAACCAAUCCAUGGGUGGGCCACAAGCUCAAAGCUCCGCCCCCCAGCGCCGUGCUCUGUCUCUGCAGGCCAGACUGGCAAGAAUUUGAGAGGAUGAUGGCUGAACAAGUGUGUGCUGUAGCGGACUGCAAUGCUAGUAGGAAAGCUAAUUGUGAUAUUAGCGUUCAUUGUACCCCCAAAAACUUUAGUCUUCUGGAGUUGUGGACAAAGCUUCUUGGUCACAGCAACAUUACAACUAAAACAUUCUUCUGCAGUCAGCAUUUCACAGAGUCAACGUUUACCUGCUGACUCUUACAGAAACUGAUUCACAUCAACCCUACAGUUGAAACAUGGUGCUAAUGUAGCCCGAUGAAGGAGCAGAGGUUGUGUCAGAAGUUGAUGAGAAUUAUUACAUGAUGUUAUGGACCGCCCUUCAAUCUCUGAAAUUAACAAACAGCCUUCAAAUUGGUCAAUUACCAUGAAAACACCCUGUCAAAGAAGGAAAAUAUUCUGUCAAAGCAAAAUCUGUGCAGAAGUUUGCUGUUUGGCUAAACUGAAACUAAAUGUGACUCUAACAGCCAGAUUUGAUUUGACUCAUGAAACUCAGAUUGUGCUCAUCAUCCUUUUUGUCCCAUCCAGAGUGUUUAGUCACUCUUUUGAUUCUUAAACUAAGAAAAAACCUUUGGUUUGACUUAACAAAGUGCUGUAGGCACCUAAAUUACCACUACAAAUCUUCGUAUUUCUUUAGAUGCUCCUAGAGGAUAUUGUAAAAACUAAUUAAAAUAUGUUGUUGCUGAAUAUUUAGAAAGUGUGCUCGGUACAAACACUUGCAGAGACAGUCAUUAACAAGCUUUCCUCAUUAUGCUAAAAAGACAUAAUCCAGGUGGCAUCAUGUUUCCUCAUGAACAUGUUUGCUGUUCCAAUUUAAGAGUAUAGGAAAGUAAUUUGAAAGAGGCAGUGCUGAGAGAGGAGAGAUCGAGAUUCCUCCGUAUGUCAUUUCAGUCUGUUUGAAUGAACGUAGAGGGUUUGGAAAGUCUAUAAAAUAAGCAAGUGGGUUGAAGUUAAUGAUUGAAAUUGCUCUGAAACCAGCAUACAUUUACUGAAUACUCUAAACUCUUCCAUGCAAAUGUUUCAGGUCUUACAAAAGGAGGAUAAAUUCUGCUCAGUAAUGAGUGCUUGAGUAUUGCAGCUCUGGUCUGUGAACCCCACUGAGACACCGUGCUGCUGCACUUUGGCUCUGAUGCUGUGCUCAAAGAUCAGGCCUCAGUGGACGUAUUCAGCCUCCUGGAGUGUCAUACCUGCAGCAGCUGUCCUAACAGAGGCCGGCGCUGAGCUGUGCCAGCUGCUGGGGAUACUGCUGUACCCUUCUGGAGUGAAACCAGCAUCAUUAGGGCAGUCCUCUCUCACACCAUCCAUGUUGAAUAACUAAAAAAAAAAAAGUGCCCACACCUGAUUUACUGUUGUUUUUCUGCCGACUGUCACGACAAUCCUUUGAAAAUAUUCAAAAUAAGUUGUGACACACUGAGAGUUCGCUAUAAUGAGCUGCCAUUGUUUUGUUAGGAUUACCCAAAAAACAACAUUUUACUUUAAGUUCAUCCUUGUUUGAUAGAUUUCAUCUCUGUGUUCAUGCUUUCCUGUUUUUAAAGAUUUUUGCUGCAUCGUCCUCAUGUAACUCUGCUAAAUUUGCCUUUAACCCCUGCUGUGAGACUGUUUUAAAUUCUGGAUCACACACUGAGCAGCAGAGCAGCUGUGUGCUGAUGCUCUUUAUAUGAAUACCACCCUCUUAUGUUUCACCAGACAGUAACAGAAUACAGAUAGGUUCAGGUAGACAUGCAGAGCCUUUCCAUAUUAGUUCAUUUUUGAUAAUGCGUGAGGCCCUGUAGUAAAAGGGCACCUGCACUGCCUGUUUCACUCUUUCUCACUGAACUUCACUCCCAUCUUUUUCACCUUUAAACUAUAUACAGGUGCUACAUGCGCUCUUUACCCUCCUCAACUCCCUCUCCUUUGCCCUCCAUUGUACAUGACUCCCUCCUGUGUCACCCUGCGACUUGUCCGCCUUCAAGGAGCUCUCGCACUCUGGCCCACAGCAAGGGUCAUCGACUCAUACCCUGUGUUCUCACCAGCAGACAUCACUCAGCUCCAACCUGGGGAAAAAAGACAACCACUAAUGCCUCACACCAGCUCAAUACCCUCACAAGUCACACAGAAAGGUCCUUGAAGUUGUGUUAGAACUGCUAAUCUUAAAUGAAGUGUGCUCACUUGAGAGGGAGUCAAAUGUUAAUGCUGCAAAACAAAGUUGUCCCUGUAGAUUUUCGAUGUACAACCAAAACUACUCCCACAGCUCUUGUCGGAGGUUUUGAUGUGUCCGUUCAGUCUGGCUGUGCUCGACCUUGUCCUUAGUUUUUGUUGCACAUUAUUCCUGCAUUAGUUGAUAGAGGUCAUGAGGGCAUGGAUUGGCCAGUUACGAUGAGAGCGCCAUCUGCUGGAUAACACAGCAAAGCUACUUGAGGUGGCCCGAUGCACUAUUACCAUAUUUUCCGGACUACAAGUCGCAAACUCAGCCAAACUAUGAAAAAAAGAGCAAUUUAUAAUCCGAAAAAUAUAGUGCACCAUAUUAUUAAGAGCUCAAAUAGCUCAUUUACCUUAAGUUAUAAAACUUUCUUAUGUAUUUAAUCAAACUAACUGGCAUUUUAGUUUGUAAUGUAAGCCAAGUCUUUUGUCUGUCAAAAGAAUUGAUUUUGGAUUUAAUCACCAAUUUACACUGACCUGAACCAAAACAACCCAAAUCUAAUCAGACUGUAAUGAAGUGAAUCAAACAGAAUUAUUCUUCACUUUAGUGAAUUGAUCUUGAAACGAAUGGUAGCCAUUCAGGCUGAUAAUUGAAUCUGGUUGUUUUGUUUGUCUUAUGAGUUUCCAUUCUGAUUCUCCACCCAGUUUCUCAGAGCAGGGACCGAGCUGACUUGGUGUACACUAUUGACAAGUACCUCAUAUGAACCUGCUUCAGAAAAUCUAAACCCACAAAUAGACUUUAACUGCGCAGAUUAGAUGUCAUUUAGGGUGUCCAGAUUGGGUCUAUUUAGGUCGUAUGUACAUAUAGAAUUUAUCAACAUUUGAUUGGGUACUUAUUCACCUAAAAAUACCCUCAGGUUCCCUUCAGAGUGAUGUUUUUCUGUUCACUUCGCUUUUUUCUCCUUAAGUGUCACAGAAAAGCACUUACACCGAGUCAUGACAUUUGGUGGAAGGUUCUGGCGAGAGGUCAAAGAAGAGCUCCAUAAAUUUGAAAGAUCAGGAUCUGACUCAGAAAACAAAUUUUCCCCCCCAUAUCUCCUGUGUCUGAAUAACAAUGGAUCAGGCUCAAAGUAAAGUAAAAUUUUCUUCCUCAGGACCCGACAUUACUCACUAUGCGACAGCUGUUCAUGAUAACAAGGUGCCUUGUUUAUGAUGCCUCCAGUCUUAGUACUUCAGAGUAGCUGUGAGUCACCAAAAUCGGCACGCAUGUUGAGGUGUUCAUCAGCAAGACACACAUUCAUAUUUGGAAAUGACAGUCAGGAUUAUAACUUGAGGAAAAUAUUUUCCAUUUGCUCUUGCUGUUUUGCAAAUAUAAAAUUGAACCAUCAUUUUGUCAAAAUCUUACAAAUAGUGAAUUUUCUUCCUUCCUCCCACCAGCCUGCAAAUUUCUACACCCUCUUCCUUCCCGAAGCAUCGGCUGCAGAGUCUGGCAGAGCUGCUGAGCUCAGCUGUCCUUAUCUCCAUUCAGACAUGGCAGCUCAUAGAUUAUGUAUGGUUCCUGCGGUAUAAAGCCAUGUCCUCCCACAGAUCAUGAGGAGGCCUGGUUGUGAAAACACACACAGUUAGAACCUGCAACAUACGUACAUGGACUGUGAUCAUAUUAAUGCCCCCUUGGAUAUCUUGAUAGGUACUUAAAGCUUUCACACCUCCUGCUGUGCACACAAGAGUGCUUCACAGGGUCUGACAGAGGUCUUUAGUGAUUUUACUGAAGCACAAUAAGGUUAUUGAGUAAAUUAUAGGGGGCAUUUUGACAGGUUUGCAUUAUAGUCCAUAAAGAUUAGAUUGUAUUGCAAUGGACUUUUUGUAUUAUUCUAUUGCACUAGCAUUUCUAUGCAACUCAAUGCAACUAGCAGUCAUUCUUAAACCUUUCAAAUCCAGAGAAUGUGGAAGUGAAAAAGGCUCUGCAUUGUUUCUGUAGUCCACCGAGGGAAAUGUAGGAGUUUAAAUUGGCUCCAUCAAAAACUCAUCUAAAACACUUAUAAAACAUGUCUUAAGCACUUAUAAAACAUACUUAUCCCUUUUUAUUUCCCACUGUAAAUAAACACAAACAUAAAACCUGUAUUUUCCUGGUACAAAUCCAUCCAUGUUUCAGGCUCUGUUGUCUGCUCAUGCAGCAGAAGCUUCUCCUCCUUCUAUUAUCCUGUUUUCCUUCACCCUAGGCGUGCCUGGGGAGGCAUGUUGACCAAAGUGUAGGGCCUCACAUCUCUAUAGGUGGGGAUGAAUCCACCUUGGAUCUGUGUGUCAGCAUGUUUACCCGUCCUUCAGGGGAGUGGGUGUAAGGAAUCUGGGCCAGCCCUUCAGGCCGGCUCCCAGUGACCAAGCACAGCACCCCACAAUAGAGGCGACUAAUUAUUACACAUAGGCGUCGACACACUGAUGUUUCCCUGCUCGUCUUCCACCUUUUUGUCUUUUUCUGCAGUGGAAGGUACAGGACAGAGUGUUUGAGAGGAAAAUAAGUUAAAAGAUGAGAGUAAAAAGGAAGAAGAGAAGGCCCAAAGCCUGUUUGCUGGCAGGGCCACUUACAGAGCGCCAAGGGGUGAGGACUCCCUAUUCAGUACGUGCCAUCAAGUGGUCUGUUCCCACAGGGAAACACUGGCACAGCCAGGGGCACCACUGAGGCACAGGAGAGGACUCCUUUCUCCCCCUGAAAAGAAAAUGUCCUCCAGAGCAGGAGUGCUGUAAUUUUCUUUUAUCAUUUACUUCUCUCUUUUCUUCUCUGCCUCCUUUUUUAUGUCUCUUACAAGCUCUUGUUUGAAUGACCACCAUGGCUGCUUUCCCAACACUUGUGGAAAGCUGUUUUUCAAAGAGGCCAAUCGCACACACUCUUUCAGGUUGUGGAGUAGUAAGAUCUACUGUACCACACUACACAGUGAGUUUAACUGGACUUUCCAGAGAAGUAUCACGGCUUUCUAGUAGGUAGUCUACCAGUAAGUUUGUACUUUCGGUGCAGGUAAUCGUAAAGUCUGAAAAUUCUUCUUCUUGUGGUCCAGAGAAGUCAGUUUAAGAUUUGCAGUUGAUUCUUUUUCUCUAAGGAACAGAGUGAGGGUGAGCUUUAUAUAAUGUGUAGGAUGCAACAGGGCCACACAGCAGGUGGUACAGGAUUUUUUUUUUUGGGGGGUGGGGGGGAUCAUAAACCCAGCUCUACUUUUUAACACUAGCUGCAUAUACAUGUGCACAAAUAAUCAGAAUAAAUUCCCGAUCGGAAUAUAAAUGCGUCAUGUAAACAUGUCGAUCGGAAGAUUCUGAUCCAAUUCAGCUCAAUCGGAACGAAAUUGUAUGCUGAUAGUUAUUCCGAAAUGCGUCCAUGUAAACACUUAUUCCGAUUGUGACUUUCUUACCUGACUCGAUCGUCACUCUUUAUUCGGCUUAUUUAUUAAGGCCAGUCCAGGAGGUUUCAUUAUUAACACACUGGCAUAAAACACAACCGCAGUCGCUGUGUCUGCUCCUCCGAUAACAUAACAAGGCGUACAUACAGCGUAAUGAUGUCACAUCUGCACACACAGUGCAACCUUUUUUAGAACAGUAAAAUAAGUAUGCAAGGGCGCCAUCCAGUGACAACAUUUAGAAGGGGGAAAACUCCUGAAUCGGAUGGAGUAAGCCACUACUGCGUUUGUUGACAGCACAGGCAUAAAUACAACUCUUCUUCUGCGGUUGUUUUAGCAAAAUCAGACAACUCUGCGCAUGUCCAAAUGCUUCUAAUCUGAAUAAAUCUUGGUGCAUGUAUACGCAUGUCAUGAUCAGAUUAUUUGUUUUUGCACCCACAUAAACAGUGGAUUCAGAUUAUGCGAUCCCUCAAAUUUUAACCGGAUCAAGAAAUUUUGCCCAUGUAAACAUGGCUAGUGUGAGGAUGGAAGCACACUGUCCUAAUGAAUAUAUUUUUCUUUUUAUAUAUUUAUAUUUAUAUUUAUAUUUAUGAUUUCUUUUAAUCCAAUUGAUUCACCAGGCAAGUUUUGCUUAUUUUGAGAGUCCUUCUAAUAUAAAUAGUGGAACUUGUCGUCCUCUAUCUCAUCAUUUUUGGAGGGUCUCAGUGAGUGCUGAUAAAAGUUGACUCAUCAAAAGCCUUAUGAAAUACCGAGUCCUCUCGAUUUCUAGUCAUCCUUGAGAAAAAUGCUCAAAACAAAAGUGUUAAUAGACCUUCACAUAAUGAAAUCCCAGCUGAAGGACAGAACAAAUCCAAUGUUGCUGUGCUUGUGAAUGACGUUGUUUUCCUUUUGAAAACUAAAAAGAUUUUGAGGGAACAGAAGGAACACAGUCACAGUGUUGGAGUCUCUGUUGUCAUCAGAUGUCCUCUCUGUCGAGGUAUUGCAAUUUCACAGAAAUCAUUUUUGAACUCACUGGAGCCAAAUAUCCAUCCUCAGUCUGUUGCACACUGUUCAAAAAACUCCACGGGACACCAUCUUCAAUCUAGACGCUCCUAAAGUCCCACAAACCCGUCUCCAGUCUUACGUACAGUAGAUGACAGAUAUCACAGACUGGAGUAAAACACAAACAGCAGGACCCUGACCCUCGCUCAGACUCGGUGCACUUUUCCUGAUUUGAAAUAUUGAGCGUGAGGUGAAAUGACUGAGCCUUAAGUGGAAAUAAUCCACUUUCUCUGGUUCUUCUUCCAGAGUCAGAGCUCACCUUUAGUUCACCUCACUCUCAGAAUUAACUUUUCCCUGCCUUCAAGAGUUUACAAACUUGUUUUCCUCAUCACUCUCAAGCAAUGUCAUUCCUGUGUUUUUUUCUCACUUAUUUUUUUGCUUCUGUGCUCCACUUUUUUUUUUGCCUUUCCUGUGCAAAUUAAGGCAUAAAUUAGAAAAGCAAACGGCUCCUGACAGCUUCUGUUUCUCAUGGGAUUUGAGGCUGAUUUGCUGCACAUCUUACAUCCUGGUUGUCUGCUGAGAUGUGUAAUACUAUCAGACUGUUAAGACACAAACAGUGUAAAUAUUGGUUCUAACUAAGGUAUCAAGCUUUAGAAGUUUCAGAGAUAUAAGGGUGUUUUUUGGCUUCCUUUUCCUCAACUUGUGAGCUUUUUAAGAUCAGCCAAAUUUCUCAGUUUGUGUGUGUGUGUGUGCUUGUGUGCAUGAAUGUACAGUGUGUUUUUGUGUCCUAUAUUGCAAAUUGUGUGCCCCAAAAAUGUAUCACUGAAAGUUAAGUAUGUCAGUGCUCUGACUUGGAUUGACUUCCAAAGCAUGCUUCUCUUUCCUGUCUGUCUGAGAUGUAUGUGUGUGUAUGUGUGUGUGUGUGUGUGUGUGUGUGCGUGUCUGUGUGUGAUACUAACUCUAACAAGGCCAUAACACUUCUAUUUACCAGGGAUAGGAGGAGUUUGACCUCUGUAUUUUCUGUGGGGCAGUCUUGUGUGGUUCCUGAUGAGAAGCGGGCGAUACUGUGACCCUCAGGUCAGCUGCAAUGAGAGAUUGGAUUAUUGUUUUGGUACUGACUGUCAGUGUUUGUUAAGAUGUCAUGCUGGGAUUAAUGUUUUCCAAAGAGACUCAGAGGAGUGGGAAGAAGAGAUGGAAACAGCAGGGACAGGCCUGAAGUAGCUGCUACUGAAGUAGAGACUUUUUGAGUCCUCCAAAGUGCGCUGUUAAAUAUUUUGAUCACAUUCUCUCAUACCAAAACUUGCAAAGUCAUAUUCCUCCAUUGGGCACCUUUUUCUCUGUGCUUUUCAUUGAGAUCAGUUAUCAUUCAUAUUAGGGCUGGGUGAUGUGGCCUCAAAUCAAUGUCACGAUAUAUUGAGCAGUUCACCUCGAUAAUGAUAAAUGGACGAUAACUACUCCACAUGCUGCUCACCCCCUCUCACAUUAACUUAGUCUACUUCAGCCACUACAACUUUUGAACCACCGUCCAUCCCCUCACCUGUCUUUCCCUUUUGGACUGGAUUGGGUCUUAAAGGGAUAUGAGACUGUAGCCUAACUACACACAUCCAAAAACAACUUUUAUUUAUUUAUUUUUUUGACACCGGAUAUAUUGACACAGGCAAAAUGAUGUCGGUAACUAUCGUAAAUUUUGGUAUCGGUAACCUUUUGGUUUAUCGCCCCAGCCCUAAUUCAUCUAAUAGGAAGUUUGAAUACAUUUGAGAUAGCCACUUACCCAUUCCAAUGAUUGUAUUAAUGGGAAAAGCAGUCGUAUAACCCAUGGGCAAUCGCUGGACAUCUCCUUGUGAUUGAUUUACAAUGAUCAGGUCUUAGGGUAGCUGGAUUAACAACUACCCGAUUAAGAUUAGUGGUACGUAAAAAAUAGUUUUUACGUCUCCCUCUGAGAGAACAAGAAAACUCCUUUUUAAAAGCUUGUUUGUUGAAUAGAGGUCAGACCCAUCAUUUCUGAUGCAUUCCAGCAAGUCAGAAAAUCCAAACCCUGAUUGGUUUUGGUGACAUGGUGUCAGGCAGAUUUGUAGCUCAGGUUGAAAUCUUACUUUUUCGUUUGGAGACACUUAAAUUGUCACCAAAAUACUGCAGAUUGGAUUCUGGCCAUCAGUACGUCAAAAUGUCAUUCUAUCUGCUUUUGUACCCCAUGCAGAAUGUUUGUCCUUAAUUCACUAAAAAACUUGCUAAAAUGUGAUUCUGCUCAGGCAGCAGGAAAAAAAGCACUUUCAUUGAAAUCAGUUGAUAAAACUUUGAUUUUUUUCCCCCCUACGGACAUAGCUGAAGCCAGCCCCCAAUAUCACAACGCCUGAAUGCCGUCCUUUUACUGAGGUUUGACUCAGGCUUUGACAUUGGGUCUUAAAAGUACAGCCAGAAACCUGAGGGCUAAUAAAUUUUGUCCAGUUUCUCCUGCCGUCAUUCUAAUUUAGCAAAAGCUUCAUUCUUUUCAAACUGAACCACGAAAUACAUUUAUUUAGCAGAUAGUUCAGCCAUUCGCCACAAACUGGUGCUGACUACUAUCUAUGUGUGUGAUGGGUCCUUGUGAUUCUUCUUACCGCAAAAAAACUCCAUGUUUGUUGGGUUCACCUUGAACACCAGUCCCUUCUUUUAUUUCCCUGCAGUAUCCUUCCUCCUCCCCUUGUCCCUGUGCAUUUAUGAAGCACGUUCAUGAAUACCUUGAAUAGGCUCAAUUAAAUUUGUUGAAGUUGAACAGUCUUACUUUUGGUAUGUUUUGCUCCUGGCAGUGAGGAUCUAGUUGUUUCUGUGAGGUUAAAACUCUUACAUAUGAAAUGAGGUUAUGUGCAUCUUAUGUGAGGAAGCCGCACCACAGAUGUAUGACAUAAAAAGGGAAAAAAAAGCUUAGUUCUUUCUCUUCUCUUCUCUGAGUAGACUGUCAGGCUUUAAACUUUGCUCUGUUCAUUUUUUUCUGUCGCUCUUUCUUGCUCUAUGCCUGUGUCUGUCGCCUCAUUUUCCUCGUUGUUCCAAAAUAGUAAUUAGUUCACAAUCACACUGGUGCCAGAACACAAAACCACAGAAAUAUGCAAUCUGAGGCUUGGGGGGCAGCUGCCUCUUCAGCAACAAGCAUAUGGCAGACACCCUUUUUGGAAUGUAACACCCUGAAUUGAUUGAUCAUGCCUGCACCCCCUUCUCCCCCACAUCCGCUCACUCUACUCUUCAUCAAAUUAGGCCAGUUUUACAUUUUUCCCACAACUAUUAGCUUUUAUUUAUAGCUCUCAUUAGCAGCAAUUACCUCAAACCUGUGUGAAUGAAAAGGAAGGUAUCAUUUUGGGCCUGUGGUGUGUGCUGCAACGCAACAGGGCUGAGAUGAUGUGGUCCUGGAAGACAACAUACACGUGCACACACACACACUGACACAGAAACACUCACAUUUGGUUUAUGCAUUCCCCUUGGCCUCCAUGAUAGGGGAAUGUUAACGAGUGGAGCCAGCCUUCAAGCUGAGCUCUGUGCCAUAUGGGCCUGCCAGGGGAGUGGCACAAUUCCUAUUGACUAAUUUCCCUCAGAAGCAUCUCACACACACACACACACACACACACACACACACACACACACACACACACACACACACACACACACACACACACACACACACACACACAGACUGACAAAACAAAACAAAAAGCAAUGAAAAACUGGCUCUCCAUUAUGACUUUAGCGCCAGUGCAGCCACAGGCCUGCUAAAGUUUCCCACAUUGAAAAAUAUACUUCUAAACAGAAGUUUUAACAAUAUUAAAACAUGAACCUUUACUCACCUCAUUAUUUGAAAUUGCAUAAAAUCAAAAGCUGCUUGGUAGAGUUGUAACAUCUUUGUCAGCACUGGCCUCCAGUAUAGUUACAAUGUAGUGGUAUUAGUAUUGAGGAGUAUGCCAGUAACUGUACCAGGGCUUGAGAAGGAGCACAUGUGCUCCUAAGUUAAAAAAGUAAGGAGCACACAAAGAACUUUAGGGGCACAAUGAAAAUUGAACAAAUAAUGUGUGUCUUAUUGGUUGACAUAAGUAUUAUUUGAAAUGAAUUGCAGGUCUUUUGGUCACAUGACAUGGAAGCUAUUGGAGGAAAACAGCCUUUUUGAGAACAUCAACAGGUAAUUUAUUGAUGGUCCCUUUAAUUCAACACAGCGAGGGUGUCGAGUAGAUUUAAUUGUGCUGCUGUUGCUAUUCCUGGUUACGGAGAGGGAGAAGACACCGUAGAUCCUCAGUAAAUUUCCGUCGGAUAUCCAACCUGAAACUAACUUCACCUCUGUAUUUACAUUAAAAAACAUUUGUUGCCUCGGCUGAUUUUAUUUUGCACACAUGUGCCCCUGAAUGCAUUUUACAAUUCGCACACAUGUAUUUUUAGUUGCAAAUGCAAGUGAAACGGUUGCACUGUCGGGCCCUGUGUACCCAUAUGAAACCGAAACCAUAACCCCCAUUCAUUUAUCAUUAUUUGAUUGUAAUGAUAUUUAAAUUGAUAAGCCUGGUAUUGCUGUGUCUUGAUACUGUCUUAUUACUGCUCUAUUGUCGUGUCGUGUUGUAUCAUAUCGUGAAUACGGGGGUUUUACAAUUAUUGUGAUUCUUUGAACGCAAGCAUUGAUUAUUAUUACAUGUUUUGGUUCAACUGUCUUAAUAAAAGCAAAUGUGGAAAUCGCUUGAAUAGAACAGAAACUGCAUUUCUGAUAAAUACUACCAAUUCUGUCAGCUCUAUCGCCGACAUUGAGGUUUUUGGUCCAUCUCCUCCUCCUCCUCCUCCUCCUCUUCUUUAGUCUCGUUCCCAGUUCCUCUAUCAAAGACUUGGUGGGGGGCAGGUUUCCCCUCAACGGAAGCCAAAGUCACACACUCCUAACACUUGUUCACACUGAGUCUUUGUCCGACACACUCGGUGUAACUUCCACCGACAGAAAUGUGUUUGUGAAAUUGUGAUCUGACUCAGUGUGAAGACGUGGUCAAGGCGUACUUUGGUAUGGAUGCCACAUUUUUGUUCAUGUCUCAGGGUGGGCUUUAGCAGCAGAAACAUACGGAGCCCCUAAAGGGACAUGGGUGGACUUUUUUUUUUUGCGAGAUCUCGCAAAAGUAUUGCGAGAUCUCGCAAUACUUUUUGCGAGAUCUCGCAAAACGUAUUGCGGGAUCUCGCAAUACUUUUUGCGAGAUCUCGCAAAAGUUUUUUCUCCAUUCAGUGAACCGGAAGUAAAACACGCCUAAAAUAGCCUAAAAUAAGCCUAAAAUAAUAAUAAUAAUAAUAAUAAGAAGGAGCAACAGAGCACGGAUGAUGUGUACCAUAGACAUAAUAAAAGAUAGACCCCGCAUCGGCCGCUACCACGAAUGGGCGCUGUCGAGAAAUGCGGCCGCCAUCUUGGUCCGGUCAUCCGCCUCACUCUGCACCACUGUCUUCCUCUUUGGCCUACAAAUGACUCUACAGUCAAGUGUAAUGUUGAAAAAACGUGUAAUCAUAACUGUGAAAAGUUAUUCCUUGAGCCCUGUUCUCUGCUGUCCGCCUGUUGGCACAGGAAUACGCCGCACAGUGCUCCGGCAUCGCUGAAUGAAUGAAUGAAUGAAUAUGAUUGACCGGAGCGUAUGGGAAGCUUGACCUGACCAAGAUGGCGGCCGCAUUUCUCGCUGCGCAGCACCCCCAGCGGGGUCUACCCUUUUAUUAUGUCUAUGAUGUGUACGCUCCUCCAUCAUGUGUGUCUGUUUUACUUCCGGUUCACCGAAGUAGGACAGAACUUUGCGAGAUCUCGCAAAAAAGUAUUGCGAGAUCUGGCAAUACUUAUUGCGAGCGCUCGCAAUACUUUUGCGAGAUCUCGCAAUACUUAUUGCGAGCUCUCGCAAUACUUUUGCGAGAUCUCGCAAAAAAAAAAAGUCCAUCCAUGUCCCUUUAGGGGCUCCGUAGAAACACAAUGUUGUCAAAACUAACAUCAGAUGGGUUUGCUUGGCUUCUUUUGUUUUUUGGACUUUUGGACAGAAGUUUCACAGCAUUUGUUGUAUUUUAUCUAUAUAUGUAUGUUUUGAUAAGCAGCAUACUAAUUUAGACAAAUGGUCUUCUCUAUAAAAUAACUGAAAUUUCAGUAAAUUUCCAGUUAAUUUGUCAAUAUUGGAGCCGAUAUCCGAUCCAAAUAUCGGAUCUGUGCAUCUCUAGUUUUAGGCAUUAAAAUUCACAAUAUGAACACCGUCAGUCUUUUAUCGUGGAUGAUCUUGUUAGAGGUUUGUUAUCAUAAUAAAGCAUCAAUAUAAAAAUUUUUAGUCUAUUUCAUAGUCAUCAAAAAAACCCUCAAAGGAGCUUUAAAACACAUGCAUAAACGUACCACUUAAACUCCUUUAAACAACACAAAAAAGUAACUGUAAAAUAUAAAAGUGUUGUACAUUCAGCCAUCACCAUCCAAAAACACUAUCUAGUUAAAACAUCAUAAUUUUUACUGAGUGUAAAGCUGCUCAUUCUUCCUCCUGGAGACUCAUCAGUGGGCCCAUGAGCCUUGAAGAGUUUGAUGGUGUGGGAGAUGAGGGAAUUUCUAACCCUGUUAGACGUAGCCCUUGGCGGUCUUAAUCUCCGUCCAGAGGGGAGAAACUCCUCAAAAGGACAAUGGAAACGGCUCUUCAGAAAUGAUUCAAGCCUUUGAAAUUGCUCUCUUGGAAAAAUGUGAGACAGAUCAGGCAGUUUAACACCAUUGAUCAUACUGGCAAGCCCCGCUGCACUCUUGAGCAAUAAAACUGCAGUUGUUCUCUUUUUUUCAGUCAAGCUUUCAAUAAUAUGCAGCCAUUGAUUUGAUGGUGACAGAUAUUCACCUGAGUAAAAGUAUUUGGAGUUUGGAAUAUUUUCGGUUCAUGACGGUGUGAGGGAUCCAAGCUGACCAUGAUCCCUACAGUAGCAAAGUAAGAUAUUCACAGUUUAGUCUGAUAAAAACAAAGUGAAAUGAAUACUAAUGCAGAUGCAAUCAGCAUAAGUAAAGUGUAAAGCCCAUCAUUAGGGACCGCCUCUGCUGCUGCUAGCUGAAAAUGCUGAGCUCUAAUCAUACAUUCAUCCUGAUGUAACAGGUUACACAGAGUCUGGGAAUACACUGCACCAAUUCUGCAAGUCAAAUUUCUGAAAACUGUAAAAAUAUGCAAAACUGUGAGAGACAAUUUGGCCCUUGGAGUUUCCAUAAUGUAUUCUAAUUUACUCAUUUCUGUUCCGUGUUGUCAAGAUGUUUUGUCACUUAAUUACACAGCUACAUUGCAUUAAUUCUUUCCCCAAAGUUAAGCUCAAAAAUAGGAUCUCUACUAUUUUGCUGAGUGAAGCCUAUUCCCAGUGCAUACAGAGGCCACUCAAUUAACUGAACUUUUUAAUUGGCCUAAACCCUACCCUCAUGGCCCCAGGGUCACUUUGAAUAAAUGCAUCUUUUAUUCAUCUGGCAUAUGCCUAAAUUGAAAUCUAUUAGAAGUCAUCUGAAACAACAUAAACAUCGUAUCAAAAAGAUGUUUCUGAAAGUGAAAAACUAACAAGGAUUUAUUCUCAUUGUCGUCUUUCUUAGUAAAAUGAAGCCACGCUUUAGAUCGUUUCUGCCUACUUUUCAUACCAUCCACUAUGUUUUUUCCUCAAAGUCUCUGUUCUUGUUCGCGUAGACUGCCUCUCACAAGACCGUUUUCCAAAGCACCCGAAAGAAAGGAAUCGUUAAGGGAAUCAAUAAAAUGAAAUGUAAACAAUGUCGACGGAUUGAACCAUUUGAAACCGGUUAUCAACAAGAACCGGUUCUCGAUUCCCAUCCCUAAUGCUCUUGCUUGCACAUAAGUAUGACUCCAGUAUAACACAGCGACCAAGUGCUGUCCUUGGGAAUGUGACAGUUUUUGCUUUUUUAAGUUGAGAUUUAAAUUAGACAUGAAGAGAAACAACGGGGAGAAGAGAUUUGAGGAGAAGUCAAACUGAGAUACAGAGUAAACCACACAACCACACAAUUAGAACAAACACAGAAGAUGAAACAGCGACUCUGUGGUUCUCUGUGGCUGUCACACAACCUGGCAUUGUUACUCGGUCCGUGGCGGAGGCUGUGCACCCAUAAUUCAGUCUGAUUUAGAGCUGUGAUGGGGAUAAUCAGCAGUAUAAUUUGGAGGAGGGUGUGACUGGACUGGAUAAAAGGAAUUCUGCUGUUUGUGGCACACCUCACUCCCUCCUUAUCCUCUAUCUCAAAUCAAAGUCAUUUCACUCCACUUCUGCUGCUUUCGGCCAUGUCCAGAUCACUUUAUUUUCUUUUUUAAACACUUAGCAUUUAUUAGAUUUUACAUAUUCUGGCAUAAACAGCCCCACAGUUUGCCUGGGACAUGCCUCUUAAGGUUUGUUUAGCUGUCAAGUUUUGGUAAAGCAUUUUCACUGGGCUUUUGCUUUAUAACAGCAGGAGUCAUGAGAAAGUCAACAUUUGAUUCUGGAGGCUUAAUGUGUUUGCUUUUUACACCUCUUUCAUUAUCCUUGUCAUUGUUGUGACUUCAGCCAGCAGUGCUGAUGGCUGUUUGAACAAAACGCCCAGAGAAAUCUGAUGAGGAAUACUGCUACUAUUAGGUCAUUGUCAAGGCAUUGCAGGACAAAAUAUCAAUACAACAACAUACCCUUACCCUUACAAGGAUGUAUGGUGUUAAAAACUACCUGCGCUAAAUGAUUAUUUGUUAAAUUAAAAAGUUGUGAUACUCCAAAUACAUUUCCUUGCCAGUUUGACCUAGCCUCGUCACUUGUCCUUGCCAAUUUGACUCAUCAUGUCACAGCUUUGUGACUCCUCACAGUGGCGUGAAUGACGUAAAUAAGUAGAAUGUGAACUGAAGGUAAUCGACUGAUAAAGACGUUAACAGCUAAAAAAUGUUGUUGUAGUACAGUAAAACCAAAGUGCAGUGAAUGAAUGAAUAAUACAGUACUCUGUCUUUUUGGGUGAUUUUGUAUUCUUUUGUUAAACAGAUAUUAUGACUCAUUAUAUAAGCACUUGCAAUACAUCAGUGUAGCUUUAUCAUGAUAUUACUGAUAUAUUGGCCCAUGUUUGGUAUGUAGUAUCGUGUUGCACAGCAUUGCAGUGUAUUGUGUGCUAUCUGCUGAUCUCCAUCCCUAAUAGCAACAGUAGCUUCUGAGGUAUGAGCUUGAUUGACCACAGCUAAGGAAGAUAAUUUCAAAUAUUCUUCGAUAAAUUAUAAGUGUGCGGUGCUGUGAUGAGAGGAAUUUAUCCACAGUCUUUGGUUUGGUUUCAUGUAUUUACGUUUCAAACUAGAUGAAAAUCGACAGGAGUAUAUUGACUUUGUUCUCUUCUGACACCAUUUUAGUUUGGCUAAAAGGGGUUGCUGUGAUUUUUUCGCAUUUUCUCAUCUAAACUGACAGGCUUUCAUUUGGUUGACAGCUGAAAUGUUCCUGAAUUGCAGAGGUUACAUUAGGGUUAUCUAACAAGAACAGCUGCCAUUAUUUCCACUUCGAAAAAGAAACUGAAAAUAUGUGGCAGAACAGUAAAAAAAACAGUCUUAGUAGUUGUCAUUUUGAAUUCAAUUAAAAUUCAGUGCAAACACAGUUGAAGGACAAAAAUUAAUGAAAAUUUUAGAGAAAUGUGAGAGGUUGUUCCGUUGGAUUAUAAUCCAUCAAGGUUUGCUUGUCAAAUGGCAGCAUUACUUUGAUGCCAUUAACUUGACAGCCAUUGUGUUUUCCCCCUCUACAUCUUAACCUUUAUUGGAGAGAACUCUACCCUCUGAAUCACCCACAAACCCAACAUAAGUCCAUUUACUUGUUCUUAAAAGUCAUCCCCCCAUUUGUGAUUAACUUCCUCCAGCAUGGCCAGACCGACUAUCGGUUUUCGCCACAGUAAUUGCGUCUCGUUCGAAGAGGGGGCUCGGCAAUAAAGUUGUCAGUGUGUAUUACAAUGUGGGACAGAUGAGGAGGAAAAUGCCGGCCUGUCCUCUCAUCUUAAUGACAGCCAUCUCCAGCAACAGACAGCUCAUCUCAUCUUCACCAUUAAGACUGAACAGUCAGGGUGACAUUGUGUCUAUCAUGGUAGCUUUAUGAAAAACAGGGAGCUUCUUGUCAGCCAGGUAACACCGACAAUCAUGCAGCUUCACCCUGAUGAAUUCAUUUGGUAAUGAUGGUUUGAUGUUGCAGUCUUGUCGGGGGCUGAUAUUUGAUGCGAGGAGCACGUGUUGGGUCAUUUCUCAGUCAGGGUUAAUGUCGACUUUGCAGCUUGUUAAUAGCGUACAGGGUAUUCUGCCCAUCAGAGUCCUGCAUCAUUGGAUUCUACUCAACUCUAGCAACCUGCUCACUGUAUGUUGUUCCACUUGAAGCUCCGAUGAUGACUUUUUUGACAUUUAUAAAAUAGACAAAAUUCAUUCUGAUGCCAUUUAAUUAGCAACAAAAACAAACAAGCCAGUCAUCAACAAAAUUGAUGAUUUUUAUUAAUUUAUAGCCUAAAACUAGUGUGAGAGGGUAGCUGUUAGCUAAGAAACGGCUCAGUUUUUACAUUUUCCACGUGAAUAGUACAACAAAGUAUAUAUUUGACUAUCAAGGGUCAGACAGAUGAGGUUUCUUGUCAUAAGACACUACUGGAGUGUGUAGAUGACAAGAUAAGCAAAGACGUCUUUGUCCACCACGGGUGUCUCAAACCAAAAGUUUAACACAGGAGCUUUAAAGGAAUAGUGCACACCUGAAAAAAAGAAUCAACAGUAGAUACUACUCUCUUGGCAACAGUAAACUUUGGAGUAGAUCGGUCAACUUAACCUUUUUUUUUUUAAACAUUGUCCUAUGACGUAUGGGUCUGGAACCUCUGUUACUCUAAAGUUUCCCUGUAGGUGGCAGAUGUACCAACCCAAUCACAGUCCUUUAUUUAGGAUAAAGACAUAGGAGUGCUGCUUUAGCUUAUUGGUAAACAACCAAGAAGGCUGCUUCUGCCAUAGGGAGCUCUCUGUUUACAUCACUGUUGCCAUGCAUUACCUUACGUGCUGCAAUCUGAUAGUGUCUCUACAAUCACUUUCAGUGGUAUUUUUGUAUGCAGCUGUUGCUAAUAACCUCCUAACAGGUGGAAUGAAUUGACAGUCCUGGAUUCAUUCACUAAUGGCUUUAUUUUAACUUUAUUCUAAAUUCUUUGUUUUUCAUAGCAAUGGUCUGCUAUUGAGAAAUAGCAGACCUCAGUAUGCCAGAAAUGACUGAUUAAGUAUUUAACACAGUUGUGAAAUAAUCAGCUGUAACAACCUGCUCACUGUACAUUAUACCUCUUAUUGUAGGAGUACAAUUAAAAAAAAGGAUUGAACUCAAAGUUUUAAAUGACGUAUUGUUUUUAUGAUAUGAAAAAAAAAACUGUAUUUAUUGUGACAAAAUAGUCCCUCAGUCUCUAAAGUCGGAGCUGCAACAUCUUCACACUAAGGCUCCUUUGUAAAUGAGAACCAAAUAACCAACACAGCUGUGUCAUAAUAAAUGAUGUAUCACACCAAGCAGUGAAAGCGGUGACAGUUUGCUGUGAGACAGCCAGAUUGUGCGGCCCAACAGCUUGAGGAUAUUAUAUUUACCUCUCAUCUACACUGUUCCCUCUGGAGCACUGUUUAACUGUCCAAUGAGGCUCACACCCUCCUGUUUUAUAGAUGGCCUCAGUUAACACCAUAUCAGCACCCGCCUCUAAGAAUUCAUUAGGGAGCACCUCAAUCAUACAGGCGGAGAGGGACGAGUCAAUUUGGCGGCGUGCUGGAGGUGCAGGUGGAGUUAUCAUCCUGUGUGUGAGCGGGAAGACCAGCCAGCUAUCAGUUUAUUCUGUCUUGGGCUGGGGGGGUGGUGGUACAAAAUGUAACUGUGGAGGUGGGGAACAACUGCAACACCAACCUGAGGUGAUGCAGUCACCUGUCUCCAUCCUGCAAUAAGCAGCCAAAAUUGAGCUCAUAGUGUAGGUGGUGACAUGCGCAGCACAGUCCCUGUAAGCCUGCAGUUCAUUCAUUAUUUAUAUCCUGAUAUGUGUAUUUUUUGUUCUAAAUAAAUACCUGCAGGACACUGAAGUAAAACUCAAGGGAAACAGUAUGACAGACGAAAAUAGGAUAAAUUGAAAUCAUUGCUUAUCAAGAUGUUUCAGGGGAAAAAAAAACAUCCAAGUGUGGUUUGAGUGACUGUUUUGUUGGCCUUCAAUAAUUGAAUCCUUUCCAAAGACAUACUUAAAUUUACCAGUGUCAUAUUUAUGUUUGUUUUAUUGGAGGAGGCUGUAACUUCAUCUGUCAUCUGUCUGAAAGUGGAAAACACAGGAGCAAGAACUGAGGAUGGGAUCUGACCCUAGAAGUGGCCUUAAUUAAUUUUUUUAUGACUUGAUGACAAUGAUUGUGAUUUUUCCAGUAUUUUAAUUCAUAACUGAAUACCUGUAAAACUUAAACUCUUCAGUUUUCUCAGAUAUGCUCAUAUUUGGUGCUAUUUUGCAAAAUUCAUUUAGUUGAAUUGAGAAAAAAAAGGCAGCAGCAGUUGACCUCUGCAGUCAUUUUUGGUGGAUGAGCAUUAGUCCCAUUAACAUUUGUCCAAAUUAAAACAAACAAACAAAAAAAAAAAUCCCUUCUUCUUGGUUUUAGAUGUUCAUAACAAAAGGAUAAUUAAUGUUAUAGCUUGGACAGAUUAUGCAUAUUUGUGAAAUAGUGCUACAAAAAGGUGACACUGAUUGUUGUGCACUAUCUUGAUUGAACCUUGGAGUCCUUGGUCACUGUUCUGAUCUCACCUUAUUCACCAGAAUAAACAGACAUACAGUGAUAUUGUUUUGGUAUAGUUUGAGUGAAACUAACUUCAGAGGGUGGCUGUUUUUUAAUAGGUAAAUCCGGUACAGAGAAUUGCAGCUUUUAACACAGGUCUUAACAAAGGGUAUACUGAGUGUGUGUUUGAGACACUGUUAGAUCAGUAUUUCAGUGUGAGAUUUACUAUCGUCGAAGUUUACUGUUAAAACAGUUAAUUGGUAAGUAGGUCUUAAUAAUAAGUAAUAAAAUUGUAGUCUAAUUUAAUGUUCUGCAGAUUUUGGCAGCCUUUACUACCCCUUAGCAAGUCGUCCUUUUACCGUCCAUUUUUGACCCUCUUUUCUGUACUCUACUCUGAGAUGACAACCUGUUGUAGCAUUUUAGCUACAUCCUCAAAACUAGUGUGGCCGCACUGACAUCCAGACUUCUAUUUAAAUUAUGUACAACUUCAGCAAACUUCCAGCAAAGUUGUUACAGCUCAAGAUGUGUCUACAGUAAAUUUUUUUUUACAGUACAAGAUAACAAAACAGCUUUAUAGGAGAGUUUUCUGCUUUGCCUCAAGCUGCCUGAUGUAAGGCUGCCUCUAGCAAACUGUAGGAACCUGAUACAUCACAGCCUAUGUGCUGGCAAACAUUUCACUACAGGUCAGGAUGACAGAUGUGUGAUGUUGAGUUCUUUUUUUUUGCAAGAAAAGCAAAACUUUCUAGCUUUUCCUUACUCGCAGAGAGUCUGCUUAAUCCAGAAAGUAAUCUGCCUCUGUGCAGUACAUGGCCUCCAGUUUGUUUUGCAGCCUCCAACCAUUUGAACUUCCUCCUGGUUUUUUUAAGUGACUUAAAACUUUUAACUAUCAUAUCUGUAACAAGAAGACAAAACAGGGUAUUUAUUGCAAUAAUGCAACACUUUUGGUCACAUUUAUGUCAGUAGUUAGCAGUGGUUCCAGGGAUUUCAGCAUUAUAAAUCAUUGUUAAAGAGGAUUUGGGUAGAAGGAACAAUGAGACCUUUUGUAUCAGCUGAAAAUUUCACCUGAGGGUCUGCAGAUCUUACAUGAAUCCUCAAUUCUGGUCACAAUUGUGGUAGCACACAGCAAUUACUACCAUUAAGUAUUUUGAUUAAGUUUUUAUAGUUUAAAUCCUCUUAUAUUAAGCCUUGGUACAUUGGCGCACAAGCAUGUAUGACAAAAUUACACUCGCCGUGGGUCCGAAGCUCCUGGUGCUUAUUUUGUGCCUGUAAUUGAAAUAUAUGACUGCCCAUAUAUUUUUAGAUUUAUUGACUCUCCUGUUAUAGCUGCAGCAAGACCUUGAUCUCCUCAGUGUCAUCUCUCAUUACUCUCAGCCAGCUCCGUGAGGGAAGAUGGUGGUGGUGUUGUCUUCCUCACCCUUCCAGUCGUUAGGAGAACGAGCGUUCAGAGAAAUGUCACUCCCAGUGAGGUCUUAAUUAACACACUCAAUCAUGGUGACACUGCUGCAGCCAACAUGGAGGCAUGAGGAACCAUUUAGUUAUUAAACGAAGCACAUACCAAGACACUUAAUAUGUGUCUUUUCAUUCGAAUUACAUGUCAGUUCUUGCUAUUGCAAUUUGUGGUUAAUUUCCAGACUGAAUCUAGUAAGUGGGUGAAGUGACCUUGAUGUCAACUCGGGUCUUCAGACUAAAGUAAUCAAGCGUCUCUCUCCAUCUUGUUUUCUAGAAUCCAGAGGUGACCAGUCUUUAGGAAUACUGGACUAUAGUACAAACAACUUUACUGUGAAAACUGACCCUCCUGCUUAUGAAUCUGUUGUACCCUGUAGGAAAAAAUCGGAAUUGUGUCAAAAACUAGUUGCCUUGAGGAAAAGAAAAUCCUAUUAUACAAGCUAGCAAGUUGAUGUGACAUGUUUCUCCCUGCAGAGAUGGUUCUGGGUCAGUAAAGCUGAAAAAGCAGCCUGAAUUCUCCAGUGCGGGAUGAAAUAAGACUGAGAUCGCAGCGGUGUUUAACCUUGCAAAGCAGAUGGGCUGGCCAGAUUCCAUGUCUGUCAUCAGGCAGGUCUAUCUUGCAGAGCCUCAAGCUGAUAUGCCUGCUCCUGGUCAAAGGAUGACCGGACCAAUCAGUGUCAUUUGAGGAGAAAGAUGUGGUAGCUGCUGGCAUGAGGGAAGAAGUGGCUGCAGACUUGAAGAAUGGAGAGUGAAAAGUUAUUGGGGAAAACAAAUAGUGAGAUAACAAUGUAGUUGUAUAAUUCUAUGUUAGAGGAUUGUCUUUGCGCUGAUGUACGGUUGAAGCUUACAGCUAAGAUAAAGGACUAGUGCCUAUCACAUAUGAAGAAGUGACCUUUCUGCUUGCACCUUGUCCUUUGGUGUUUGUUUACAGUCAGAAUGAGCGGACUGCUCAAAAAUUUUAAAAUGUUGACUACACAGACAUAACAAAACACAGUGAUAAAGUGAUAUUUCCAAAUGUCAUCAAUAGCUAAUAGCUAUUGACUGAUAUUAAAAGCUUUUUUGUAUAUACCCCAAGAACAAAGAUGUAGACCUGUCUACCCCACCUUUUAAGGGUGUUUUUGCAUGUUGGAGGCUAAAAUCAAUUAACUGUAUUGGUUUUAAUAAGAAAUAGGUGCUAACAAAGCAGAAAAACACUAUUGGUGGACAAUGAGGCUCUAUCAUCUAUGUUACUGUGUUUGGAACCAUAGUUACCAAAGUGAUCACUAUACUACAAUAAACAGACUUGUAUCUAGAGGAUUAAGGCGUAACCUUGCUGGAAUAAUGUUUAUACAGUCUGUGGUGCACUGGCAGGGCAGAUCAGAAGUGCAUUUGUUGUGUGACCAAAAUAUCUUCCCAGAGAAAUCAACAUUUGUAACCCACUUUGCACAUUUCUUGACUCUGACUGUAACUCCUCUAAUGCUGUCAGCUUCUUAAAACGGUUCGGUUCACCUCCGAGGCUGAAGGCAGGAAAAGAUGCAUCAAACGAAGGCCACUGAGUCUCAUUCACUCUCCACUCAGAGAGUAAAAAUCGUGGCCUGACUUUGGUUGUUGGUGUGAAGAUGCUUUUUGUACCUCCAUCAUAAAAAAUGAUCUCCCUCUCCACCGUCCCUGCUGCCUCUUUUUCUCCUUCCCUCCUCUCGGGAAUUCAAUGAGACAGGAGAGAUAGAUGUUCGAAGAGGCCACAGGAGUGAUUCGUAUCCCUUUUUAUGGAGUAAAUGGAUUGAUGUUGUGUCACAGCGAGUCAUUUAGUAUCAGAAGGCCUAUUGUGCUGCUUAUGGCGUGUUAUCAAUCACACAUGUAGUAUUGAUUCUAAAUAGUAAAGUCUUUCUCAUCUUCUUGUAUGACUGUGAGAUAACCCAUCACCUUGUCUCUUUGACUUGUUUCAACUAGUUUUCGCAAGUAAGUCAUAUGCAUUGUCAGCAUUACUUUACUGGAUAUAAUGCAGACAUAAAGUUGCCUUAAAUCCUUUAUAUUAUAACAGUCUCAGUCUAUACAUGGAAAGUCUGGCACAUAUUAAGUUUUCUAAAAUCUUGGCUUAUACUUGUAACUCUUGCAUUCCUUUGGUUCCCCCCCACACAACAGGGUUUCUGAUCAUUAAUACUAAACAUGUUAUUGAUGAUACUGAACAUUUUAAGUGUGGACCAACUGAUCACACACAUAUACACCCAAAGCCUGCCUUGACUCAGACAAAAUCAAAGAAAUUGCACUCGGCCCCAAACACCUCGGCAGUCCAUGUUUUUGAAGGUAUCAUUGCCCAAGAUAGCAUCACUCUUGCAUCCAGCACCACUGUCAGAAAUAUGAAUUUUAUAUUUGUUUGAACACAACUCCCACUAUAAGAUAAUAUUUUACCUGCAAAAAUCAGACAACUCUUUCCUAAUAACAAUGGAGGAGAAGUGGCCCAUGCUAAUUUAAUUGUUGCAGUUUGAAGUGAAAGAUAAUAUUUCUCCUUGCACAAGAUGGCUGUCUGUCACUCAGUCUGGUUCUGUUCAGGGUCUCUGUCUAUUAUUAAAGGGAUGUUUUUCCUACUACUGUCAUCAAGAGCGUGCUAAUAUAAGUAAUUAUACUUAAGGGUGUGGUCUGCUUGCUUUGUAAGAAAAUCCCUCUCGUGUUUUGAGCCACAUACAUAUAAUAAUAUAUUUUUUCCAUCAAGUCUGGACCAUUAGCUAUAGAAACAAACAGCGGGAGAGUUUAUAUCUGGCUGAUAAUCUCACUUUAGAUUCAGUGUGACAAAGAUAAAUAAAUCUCUGGAUACUUAGGGCAAACAGGACCUCUGACAGCCUAUAAAUGCAUUAUUUGUCACUUCUUUUCUGCAGGGCCCCCUCAUUAAAUGUUUUAUUCAGCCAUGCCAAUUACUGCAGACAACCCUGUUAGGGGACCUACUGCUAAUGAAGUCCUAAUCUACACUGUCUGCAUCAGAUAUCAGAAAAGUUUUCAUUUCCCCCUCUGCUUGUUUCUCUCCAAACUUCCUGGGUCAGUUUAAUGAUACGGUGGCAGAAUUUAAAAUUUAGUUGUUGUUUUUUUUUUUUUUUUUUUGAGAUUCGUUUGGAUGCAGACAAAAUGAGGAAACUGCACCCACAGCUCCAGAGUUGUUGUUUAUGAUUUAAUUUUCAAUAAUUCCAAGGUAGAGCAUAUUCCAUGGCCUCUGGCUUUCGAGGGCGCGUCACACUCUGAGAGAAAAACUAAUAAAGGCCAGCUUUAUGUCCUGUGAAAUUAAAUCCAACUUAUUGCCGUAUAUUUUUUUGUCCAUUUGUUCUGCAGUUUCCCUUGCUACCUCGUCCCCUAAAAUACAGACAUAUCACGAAACACCUUUACACUUCUUUAUCUGCUGUGCAUAGUUCGCUUUAUGCUACAUGCAGUGGUGUGAGAAACUGCAAAGUGGAGAGCAGUUGAUGUUACGGUGUGGUAGUAGUGUGUUGAUUUAUGGGUGCACACCAGGUUUUAGUGGAAACGCAUCAGCUGUAAGAUAUUUGUUGUACCCCCGCUGUUGUGAGAGUCCUCGUUAGCUUAGGAAGUAAGUAAUCAGAUGGCUGUCUCUGCGCUCUAACAAACCGCCUCCAGCAGCUUUCUCCAUCCCUUUUCUCUCUUUCGCUUCAAUUCUCAAAGAGUCCUUGACACUGUGGAUACAGGAUGAGCUGCUAAAAGUCUGGUCUGGAUCUCUUCCCCCCCCCCGACUUGUCUCUCUCUCUCCAGAUUCCAUUUCCUUUCCUGUGCUGCAAUAGAAAAAAAGUCUGGUCUAGUAAAUAAAAUGUCUCAAAUAACAUCCGAUUAGACCAUGCCAUCUCUCUUUUUUCUGGUACGUGUGAAAAAAAAGAGUCUUGUCUGUGUCAGUCUCUAUGGAUCCAUUUGGCUCCUUGUGCUCUUCAGUCUAGUCUGAAUAUGAUUAGCUCAGACUGCAACAGUCAUGUCAAGAAAAAAAUUAUUGAGAGAGAACUGCAAGGAAAAAUUGAAGGUGUUACCACUGUGGCUCUUAAAGGGAUAUUCUGUAGUAAAAUUAAUUUUGGGUCAAACACACUGUAACACCAAGUUAGACUCUCCGUGGAGAGAUGAAUGUUGCCGACCGCUUGCUUCUCUAGUUAUACCAACUUUAGUAAUAGCCACAGAUAGCAAUACAGAGAGCCAUGCGCUCAACCAAAACGCCACUUUAUAGCCACAAAUAAUGCUCAGAACAGCACCUAACUCCAUCAACAGUACAUAUAGGGUCCCAACCACAGCACUGGCCACCAAACAUCUUUUUAACUUUGCCUGAUUUCUUUAGCAGAGAGACUAAACACAACUCACCUACUCUCUUCCAGCAGCUGCUUCUUUGUACAGAGAUGUUACGGUAAUUUUCGUGUCAGUUCAGUCCCUCUUUAUGCUGUCAUGUCUCUUGAACACAUUUGUGCACACUGAGUUUGGGUAAGUUUCCACAAGCACUUAUCCAAGGUUACUCAUGUUGACCCGUUUUAAAACUCUACAGUUCACAUUGGGUGUGAACUGUGAAGUACAAUGUACAGUGUCAUCACUGUUCUUGUUAACUGGUGAAUCCUCAUCCUGCUGCAGAGCUCUCUAUAUUUGGGUCUGUAUGUGUGGGUUGGCUGCAUUUUUAAUUAGAUUUAAUAAUAGUUAUUUCCCACCAGCAUCUACAGGGUAGUCAAAUCUGGAAGACAUUCUCAUGCAUUUAAAGUUUGAGCAAGUUUUAUAUGCACCCAUUACUAGUUCAUUAGUUGACUUUACAAAAUGGAAAAACAUCCAUUAAAUUUACUAAUAAAUUUUUAAGACCCCUCAGGUUGGUCCAGUCCACAGCAGAAUAGAUCUCUGUGUUUAUCUGAAGCAGACACUAAUGACUUAUGGAGAGUUCAAUGACUCUUUUUCACAGUGUUUAUGUUUUCUGUAUCAUAAAUGUUCUUCCUUGAUCUGCGUCACCCUGCAGCAGUCCGUAAUGGAUUGGCUCAUGGUCUCGCUAUAAACAUGCGGUUGCUGGAAGAGAGUGGGUGAGUUGUGUUUGGUCUCUUUGCCAAAGAAAUUAGGCAAAGUUAAAAAGAUGUUUGAUGGCUAGUGCUGUGACUGGGACCCUACAUGUACUGUUGAUGAAGUUAGGUGCUGUUCUGAGCAUUAUUUGUGGCUAUAGAGUGGCUCUUUGGUUGAGGUUUGUGUGUGGUUCCAUGGACCACUGUGUGUUGCUAUCGUGUGGUCGUUACUAAAGUUGGUAUAACUAGAGAAGCAAGCGGUCUGCAACAUUCAUCUCUUGAGGUGGUGUCUCACUCGGUGUUAUGGUGUGUUUGACCCUAAAUUAAUUUUAUGCCGGAAUAUCCCUUUAAGCCACAUAUGGGAAACCAGCAUGCUGAUAACAUUAAGGAUGAUGUGUUUGUUGCAUUGAGUCUCGGUACAAGUGCUGGUAUAUUUAAAUAAAAAUCAUGGUGAUAUUUUGUAAAGACACAUCUGGUUUAUGUGUCACAGACGUAGAUAUUUUCUCACUCUCUAACUUGCUGAAGUUAAAGAUUUGACAGCACAGACAGAGUCAGAGAAAGUUCAAACCAGGGUGCCUUUUACCACCAGCAGCUACAGCGAAGCUGAACGCAUCAACUUGCAAGACAUCGGAGCCAUCAUGAGUGCAACUUUUUGUAAAUUUGAUCAUCUGCUGUCAAACAUGGAAAUGGUAAAUCCUCAAAUCAGAAGAUCCUAGAGGGAGCGCUCUCUUUUUCUCCCUCGUUCUCUCAGCUCUGCACUCUGAUCUGACGUGUUAUUCCUAAGACAACAUCUUGUUAAGCUGCUCCAAGAGAACAAAAACCUAAGCAGGGUCUCUGUGGUGAUAAAACUCCAGCGAUGAUACCUUUACUGUUGCUUACAUCGGGGCCUUUGAAGUUGACCACAUGUGAUGAAUAAUGCAUAAAGUCUUCACUGCCUCCUCCAAAGACAAUAUUACCUUUGGCAAACUUCCUCUGACUUCCUCCUCCCAGAGGACAGAUACGAGAAGUUUUACUCUUUCUCUGCAAGUACAGCAGCACAAUUAUUCCUGGAAACUCUUUCGUGUAGCUGAGGAUCAAAAGUUUUUCUUCUUUAAUUUGAGCGGUUUUAACCCCCCACGCUCUCUGGAGCCUUUGCCAAUCCUCAAACGCAACUUGUGAAUUAUACUGAUUACACUACUCUUGCAGGAGACUGGAAACAAUCUCAGUGGCAAAAAGACCGUGGUGAUCAAACACCUUGUCACUCUCAGGAGUCUGAACUGCACACCGUCGUGAGCACUGAGAGUUGAGGACCUUAUAUCACACUCUUUGAACCAAUAACUUCAACUUUAUUGAGCUUCUUUCACUAAGAAAUAAAGGAAAAAAAGCUGAUUCAUCCGAUUUCUGCAACACAGCUAAUUAGAGCUUUUCUUUUGAAGUCUGAAAUAAAAAUAUCUCACCAUCAGUCAGUUUUUAAGACACAAACAUGAUGGGAAAUCUGUUUCAUUUCCUCUCCUUAUUUCCUGAUUUGCAUAAAAUUGGACAGCUCCUCUACAUCAUUCCCCUUGCAUCAUUACUACAAUUCCCAUUAUGCCGCUCUGGCAUUAUUAAUUGCUGCGAGUUUGUUUACUCAGCUCAUCUAAACAACCCGACUAACAAGCUUGAGUCUGUGAUGUUCAAAUUUGUUGCCCUUCAUGGCUAAUUCUGCUGCCUUUGAUAGCAGAUACCAUUAACACUGUCAUUGUGUCCCCUCUCAGUGUGAAGUGGGCAUGAGUGUGCAUGUGUGCCCAUUGAGAUAUGAGUGUGUGUUGUGGUGUGUGUACUGCCAGUCUGGCUUUGCUGUCUGCAAUUACUCCCUUCAGUGGAAACAUUAAAACUCUACUACCAUGGAAAGCUGCCACGACUGGGACAUUCAUGCCUGUACCCGAGUACGACAAAGACCCUGCAGUGGGCUGGAUUUGCCACUUAUGCAUGUUUCAGUCAGCCAGUAGAUGCCAAGACUGGAAUGACUGCUCCAGACUGAAUGAAUGGUGCAGUAAUGCCCUGACUGCAGAUUUUGGGUUUGUGUACUCAGGAACGUCCCAGUUUAAGAGCCCCUUCAGAUAAGGAGCACAUGGGAGGCUCAUUGAGAUCAGCUCUGAGAUGAGCAGGCUGUAAAUAUUCAAAUGUUGUUGUCUCAGAGCCACAGAGGGUCCAUUAAAAGGGGCUGCAUUCUGCAGAAAGAAAACAACUUUCUUUGUCAGGGAAAAGUGCUAACAACACAACUAUUUGUAUAAGCACGCCGCAAAAGGAAUUUACAUCUGCACUGAUUCUUCAUAGUUGCAUAUUUAGGUCUGUUUGGGCAUCAGUAAUUUCAGUGAGAGAUAACUGGAGAGGAGGCUAUCCCCUGAAUCUGACCCUGAUACCUGCAACACUUUUAUUUCUGCACAGCAGCCUCUUCUGCUCAAGCGGCAGCCUCUCGUCUUGAAGCCAAUGGGGAAGUGUUAAAACCUCCCCAGAGUGCCUGCUUGAAACUGGCUGCAGAAGCACCUGAAACCAUGUAAGCCAAAAAAGCCAGUUUUAGAGUGAAGAUAACCACAUUUACAGCCUGGUUCAAUAACCAGUUUUGGUUUGGAUAGCUCAGGGCCCCAUGAUACGAAGGUUACAAGAUCAGCGAAUUAGAGGCAUGACUGACCUGAAUGACAGGCAGGCACACGAUAGAUUCAAGAUUCAGGAUUUGUUUAAGUUGGUGGGAUAAAUGAGGUAUGAGAAUUUCCAUAUUGCACAUGAUAAAUAAUGGUGUAAGAAUUGCUGUAUUGCACAUGUAUUGCAUAUCACAGAUAAUAUUGCACAGUUCAGUGGGUUAUUGCACAGAGUAUUGUCUAGUGGUACUGUCAGGAGUUUAGUAAACAAACUGAGUUGCGGUAGGUAGUUGCAAGGAGCUGAAGGCCCGCCUAUGGUAGGUUGAUUGGCUAGGUGAUUCCGCUGUCGGGGUGUCUGCGGCUGGCCAGCUGAUGUUAGCCGCCGCUGCCACCAGGGUGUCUGCUUUGAAAACUCCUCAGUGUCAGUGAAAACUUGGGUGAAAUAUCCGUUACCACGUUGCUUCUUCUCUGCUAUGACGAGUGAUGAGUUUUCUAAAAAUCCUCUCAGUGCAGCAGACAACACAACUACAUUUAAGUACAUAUAAUCAUGAUUAAAUUGAUAUUUAGCGCCUUCACGUCUUGGUUACAGCAUGUUGGUGUGUGACUGAAAAGCGCUGACAUGCACAAGUACUGUGGAAUAAUUGAUAAUGAAAAGGUACACAAUUAUGUGUUAUUAUUGCUACAGAUUGUCCCUGAGGCAGUAAGAGACUCAGAGGUAAGGGUUUAGUCUUAUGACUCAGUGUUUCAUCACACCCUCAUGGCUGUUUGUGCAUGUGAACCAGUCAGCAGAAUGCUAAGCUGAAAUUUGCCAUUUAUACCUUUAUUCUGUACAGCCAUUAGAGCUGCAGAUUACAGCAAUACUACACUGUGGGUCUGUUCCAGUAGAUUCAGCAAUAUGAUGCUUUCAACCUAUAAUGAGAAAGUAGUUUAAAUAGUUCUGAGAUUUUCAAAUCUCUGAAGAACCUUCUUUGUACUCGAGUCUUCCUUUUACUUUUACAGAAACCUCUGCAAACCUCCUUUACUCAUGUCUGUGUGCCUUCAUCCCUCUUUUUUGCAGGAUUUAUAGAUGAAUGGAUUAGAGAUUAAAUCUGAACUUGUUUCCUUCAGUAAACUGUAGUUUCUAAGUCUGUUUAGAUCCUCUUCCUGUCUCUGGCAUUUCCAGUACAGUCUUAAUAAGCUUCAGCAGCUCUGUAGAAAAACACAGGCCAGGAAAUUUAUCGACAUUGAUACAGUGUGUCUGAAGUCAAUAUACCUCUUUCAGUUUCCAGGCAGUAUUUUCUCUCAGCAGAACUCCACAUCGUCUAUUACACCCAUUAGAACAAGAUGUUACCAACAUAAAGACGAGCGGACAGAUUUACAACCAGUUAUAUGAACUGUUGGUUUUCUCCUCAAUCUAAAAGCUGAAGUAAAGGAUUCUUGCUAUUUCGUUUAUGGCCUAACAAUAUAACACGGCCUCCUAAAAGCUGAGAGGAGCGUUUAAAAAGACAGUGAUUGCCUGCACGGUCAUCUGUGUGCUUUUCUCAUGUGGUCACGGUGGCUAACUCUGCUCUCAAACUCUGUCCUGAACACUUUGUCUGCCCCCGUAUCACAAUUAUGGAAUCUAUCAACAAAGAGGGCCGCUGUGAUGAAACCGUCUCAGUUUCAAUUUAUGUUUUCCUCUAAACCUUUAGUCCCAUUUCACAGGGACGGAAGUGUCAGUGACAGAGGAGGGAUCUAUCCACCUCAGAGUGUAAUUUCCGCUUUGUUGUGAAGCAUCUCCAGUCAGAGAUCCUUAAUUAGGCUUCUCCUCUGUUAUAGUGAUGAUGAUUCUGUGUAUUCAGAUAAUGGGAAGCAUUCUUUGUCUAUUCCCACUGAAACUAGAUAUUAGAAGUGACACGGACACAAACACAGGGGACUGUGCAGUGAUUGUUUUUCAUUUUUAUUCCCUAUCAAAGUUGAUAAAACAGCCUACAGACUUAAACACACAAUGAAAUAUCUGUCUUCAUCGGUUUACUUUCGUGUGUCCUAAAACAACAGAUGUUCCGUGAGCUUAAGGACAUUGCAGUAAAUAAUUCACCAUAUUUGUGUUGUGCUCAGUGGAGGAGGCAACCCAGCCAAUUGUGUGAAUAAUGCGACUUCUGUACGUCAAACCACUUAAUGUACCUUUUCUUACUGUCUGAAAACAAAGUAGGUGAACACCUUCGCCUAACGAAAAUGUCAUGACUAAUAUCGACUGUGUUAUUGCAGACUGUUCAUCAUGGAUCCGGUUCUGCCCAAGGUGUCUACCUGUCAAAAAAAGCUUUUCUUUGCCACAGUUGUGAAAGUUUGCCUCAAGUUUUUGGAGGGUGGGUGUAUGUUGUGUCUUUGUUACCAACAGCAAAGAUGAAUUUACACUUCGCAGGAGAAGCGUUAAUAAACAAACUCAACAGCAGCUUGGUAGCCUGCCAUUGAUGUUCGUGUCCUCCUACUCACACAUUACUGGGAACAUUGGGUGUGCGAAUGGAGCUGUGGCGCAAAUGUUUUCACAGGAAAUCCAUAUUGCAGGUUUACAUGUUGACAGAGUAAGUGGUGAUUUCAAAAGAUAUCCGUCUGGAACCUGGUUCCAAAAGUUUGUGUUUUUAGCCACCUUGUUUAUGCGGUUUCUCAUGAAGAAACAACCAAAACAUAACAAUAGAUUACUUACUCCCAUAAGCCUCAGACAAGGAAACAGAACCAGUAAAGGGGGGUGGUGAUAGUGGUGGUGGUCCUGAGUCAUAAAAGAUUAGGUGGUCAACUUGCAAGGUUAUAAUAUCAUUUUGUGUUGUUGGCUGCUGUUGCUGGAUAUUAUAGUUAUAUAUUCAGUGACAUUGUUGCUAUAGAACAUCAGUUCUGCUCCUAUUAACUGUGACUCAUACUUUAAAGGUUUUAAAGUAAGGAGCUUUGAACUGGUGGAGAAACUGACUGAAACUGAUAAUAAUGCCUUUCUACAACCUUUAAGAGCAGCCGAGACCAUCAGCAAUAAGGUUGAAACUUUUUCUGAGUAAUUUUGGUGUCUGAAAAUGCUGCGAGAGGGAACGAUUUAACAACAUAAUUGCAGCUGAUAAAUCUGUUUUUUUGAAUGUUUCUUUGUGACAAAUACAAUGAGUGAUAGAUUUUACUGUCAAAAGACAACAGCAGUAUAGCAGACUGAUGAUCUCUUUAAACACAGAGGUUGUAGAGCGAAAAACUUGUUUGGUAUUUAUAUUAUGAGGAUGAAGCACUCGUGAGUUUAUUCCAGAAAUGAUAAACACAACAGUCAUGAUGUCAAAUAAAAACUCCUUUAGCUGUGCUGCAUAAUGUGAUGUAAUUAUACGGAUGCUAGGUGUGCUAUCAAAUCACUCUCUGUGUGUUUCAAUGAUGCACAAACACUAAUCAAGCCAACAAGAAGCACAUGCUUCAAGGCUCUUUAUUCACAGUGAAUGCACUCCUCAACUAAUUUCAUCAUGUGCUGUGUUUGUCUGCUAUCAAUAUAUUUGCCAGAAAUGCUACGGAGAUUCAUUAACAGCACUGUUCAUGGAGCCAAACCCUUCAGUCAUAAACUCAGGUAACUGACAGGCACACAUCCGCCUUGUCAGUGCUCUGCCUUUGAUUAUGUAUUCAUCCUUUUGAGAUGAAGGCAGAGGCAGUUGGGAUUUCAGGGUGUUUCCUUUGAUUUAACGUGGCGUGUGAUCCUGAACUAUCAUUAUGAUAUAUUAUGGUGCUUUCUGUCAUUUCAUGAGCCAUAGAUUUGUAUGUGUGAAGUAUUGCAGACAAUAGCCAUGGCUUCAGUGACUGCAUCCCAUAUAACAGUGGGCUGAUUGCUUGCUGUGAUUGAAAAUGCCCCCUUACAACAGAGACAGGGUGAAAAUUGCAAUCUCCAUGUAUACAGCCUACACAUCUAUAUCAAUCAAGGAGCACAGCUGCUCUCAACGCUGAGAUAUAUUCAUAUCCAGUUUGUGCAAGCACCACCUACCCUGAGAUUGAUUCAUCUGAGGAGGACAGUAGGAGGAAGAUAUAAAGAUUGGAAUUAUGUUAAAAAUGCAUUAGGUUCAAAGAGCAGGUAAUUGUAACUGUAGAUUAACACAUUUAUUCCUCUCAAAUCUUUGUAGGGACACAGUACAACAAUGCAAGACAGCUGAAAAUCAGUUCACGUAAAGUAUUAUUCAUAACUCAAAUAAUGCAUUGAAAUGUGAUACAGAUUUUUUUUUCUAAGCUUAGCUGAAUGGAAGGAGCAGCAGAUUUUUAAAAAAAUUGCUGUUUAAGUUUCAUGUUAAAAAGUCAAAAUUCUUAAAAAGAAAUUUGUGAUUUUUUUUUUAAAGAAAUAACUUAACAAAACUUUUUUUUUUUUUUUUUUCCGCAUAUUAGGGCUUUGGACUGCAGCAAAGAAGUCCAAAUUUUGUGCUCACAAAAGGUAAGCACACAAUACAAGACACACAAUACAUAUAAUACUGACACACCCCUUUACUGGUUCAAAUCUUAUCCUUCAGGCUACUGCUCAGUUCAUCCAACUCAAAACCUUCAAAUACAAGCUUUUUCCUGUUACAGUGUUCCACAGGGUUCUUUCCUGGGGCCUUUUCUGUUUAAUAUCUUUGUACUUCCCCUUAGCCAUCUUUAUGUAAAUUAAACACCCAAUUUUCUUGGUAUGUGGAUGACACACAGCUUUACCUGUCCACCAAACUUACCUCAUCCCUUCCACCCUCUUCCCUGUCUGAUUGCGUUAAGGCAAUCACAAGCACAAUUGGAUAAAAUGUCUUAUUUUUUAUUGCUAUUAAUAUUAUUAAGAUAAUCAGGCAGAUUUUUUCUACCUUUUAAUACAAACCAGCAAAGUCCCUUUUUUCUUAGGGUUUUCAAGAUCUAAUCAGAUAUUCAUGUGGAGCAAGGUGUGUUGAGACCACUGUGUGACUGUGCUGUUUACUUUCCCCCAAUCUCUUAGGAAGACCCUACUGAUUUGAAAAUAUGAAUAUUAAACAUUUUCAAUAUUUAUGAUCAGAAAUUCUCAUGUGUGCGGGGAACCCUGAGGACAGCCGAGCUCUCAGCCUUUGGAUUAAAACAAUAUUCAAUCAGGAAGCAAGCUGACAGCAGAGAGAAGCUCAACAGACACAGCAGUAGCAACAGUAUGGGGCUCUGUUUGUCUCUGUGUUUGAGCGUGGAGUGCAUUACUCCACACUUAACAAACUAAAGGCCAGUCAGAGCUGCAAAGCCUGUGGCGUACAGGAGUAGGUGUGUGCUGCUGCUGCUGGAGAGUAAACAGUUAGAGAGACAGCAAUUGUCAUGUCAUUAUGCAAUUUUUGAUGUGUAUCAGCUCGAUGCUUUGCAAGAUGGAUCCUCCUGAUGACAGACAUGGAAUCUGGCCAAUCCAUCUGCUUUGCAAGGUUACAGUCAUAAGCCAUGACUGGAAAAUUCUGGCUAGUAGGAGGUGUCUCGCACUUGCUCAGUUCCUGGAAAGAGAUGAGCUGCUGUAUAUUUUCAGAUGCCUGUGAAAUUGUCAGAUUUGGGGUGUUACGGAUCAUCUCUAAUAUUGAACGCAAAGCUUGAUAACAAUGUCAACUUUAACCUGAAGUCUUAGCAGAAGAGCCCGUGUUUGCUGAGAAUGAGUGUGCGGUAUAUGGGUUUAGGGGGGCGGUGCUGGUUCUAUAAUCAUCUUUCUUUCAGACAGGAAAUGUAAUAUUGAAUGUUUUGAUUCAGUGUCUGAGGCCGGUAAAAAUGAGUACACAAUACAUUUGGCUUGGAAAUGCCUGCUGCUCUGUCUCUCCACCAUCCAGCAAUGAGCAGAAGAUGAAAUGAUUCAUCACAGCAGAGACAGCUUCAACACAAUGAGAUGUGAUGAGAGGGAAAAUGGUGUCGUUUUAUAUCUCCCUGAGAUCUACACAUAGCAAAGAUGAAUAGAAGCUUCUUGAGGCCAAUAGGAUACCACCGGCACAGAAUCUGGCAGCGUCCCACAGGUGUGAUGUUUUUAUGAUAUCUUUCCAGCUCCUGGAUUUAAAGAGGCAAUCAUCUGCUGAUGUCGCUCUCUCAUCUGUACGGUGUUGACAAACUGAAGGUCAGAGGUAGAACUGGUCUAAAUUUGUGAAAGUCAUACAGUCCCACAAGUGAGUCUUAGUAUAGGCUAUCAGUCAAGGUUAAAAAUCCACAAUUGCCUUUGUCCAGAUGAAACUGGACUUUUAAAAAAACAUGUAAACACAUAAGUCUAGCUGGAAUCACAUGAAAUCAAAUUUGUCAUAGUCUGACUAACAUACCCAGAUAAUGCAGUUAGGGGAUCCCUCCUCAAACAGACUGCACUGGCUCAAUUGUUGUGCACCUGCUCCACUGUUUACAUGCCAGGCUGUGAGUCAGUAGUACAGCACAAAUGAGUUGCUAGGGAGUGUUAAGGAUGUCAAAAAGACAAAACUUUCUCAUUCUACAAACAAAUGGUACAGAAAUGUUGAAAAUGACUGUUUUCAUAUUUCAAUUUAUAUGCUAUUUGCCAUUUGGUAAUGCGUUUUGUUGAUUGUUUUGAUAAGUAAUCAAUCAUAAGGUCAACCGGGAGAUGACCCAAUAGUAUCAAGUCUAAAGAGGGCACGUCACUACCUAUUGUAGCAGAUGUGGACAUGCUCUUGUCAGUAUCUAGUUUUACCUAAUCUAGUUCUAACUGAAGCUAGAUUUAACUGCAUCUAAAUGUACUGAUUAACAAAACCACAUAUGGCCAGGUUCAAGGGGGGAUAUUAUGCUUUUCCACAUUUACAACAAAAACUGCAAGUUACAAUGUUUGGUGUCCAUACUAGAUUUAUGCAAAGUUUUAAAUCAGGAGGUAAAUGCAUGUUGUAGUAAUCUUGAUGUUAUAGUGGAUUACAUGCCCCAACCUUCAGUGUCAGAAUGUGAAGGUUUGUAUGUGAGUAAACAGAAACAACUGUUACUGGCUGUGUCCAUACAGCAAAACCGCAAUACUGGAAUUAUAGAUCAUGAUAAAGUAUUUUCUUUCAUCAAGUGUUCUCAAUUCAGGGAAAAUUUCUGCAAUAUUUAAAUUGGCACAUGACACCUUUAUAAUGAGUCCACUGCUACUUUUCAUUCAUUCAAUCAACCUAAUUGCACUCAGGACAUUUCAGGGGACUAAAAAGGUGAUGCCAUGUUUAAUCUCUUAUCAGCUUGUUGCAGCUGUGUUUGUUCUUCUUCACUCCAUGUUAUAGCGGAUUACAUGCCCCAACCUUCAGUGUCAGAAUGUGAAGGUUUGUGAGUAAACAGAAACAAGUGUUACUGGCUGUGUCCAUACAGCAAAACCGCAAUACUGGAAUUAUAGAUCAUGAUGAAGUAUUUUCUUUAUCAGGCCAAAUACAGAUUACAUUGUCCAACUUUAAAUACCCACUCUGAUGAAAAUCCAGUUUUUCUUGUUUUCUUUUUACAUGUAACUGAUACAGUAACUUUACAUUUCUGAUGCUACAGGAUAUAUCAUGAGAAAAAGUGUGAAAUUGCAUCUCUGAGCAAUUCAAAUUGCUGUGAAUCUCUGGCAGACCCAACCGGUAGACUCAGACACAGUGGGAUUUCCUAUGUCACAAUUCCAAGCUCCGCCCCCGGAGCCUUGCCAUGCAGACCAGACUCAGAGAAAAAGAGCAGACAAUCACGGAACAAGCGUCUGUGUUUAGCAGAUUGCAAUGCUUGUAGGAAAGCUAAUUAUAUUAACUUUUAUCAUGCCCCCAAAGACAAUAGUGUCCGAGAGCUGAAUAGCUCCUAUGUACCUGCUACUUCUACUACACUGGCAAUGUUAGGCUGCAAACUAGCUUGAAGGGGAAUGUGCAGAGCAGCGCUGUCUCCGCCCACGACUCAGAGGCGAAGAGCUGAUGAGCUAUUGGAGCUCUGCAGAAGAAAAGCCCUUGAAAAUGACACAGGUAACGUGAUUUUGGCUAAAAACUUAAUAAUCACAAUUUAAAGACCACUGAGAACACUUUAAGUAGUAAAAAAAAAGAGACCAAUCAGAGUGGGACUUUAAGGCUUAGCAGAACUAAAAUGAAUGAGUUACAUCAAUUAAACCCAAGGCAGAGAAAAUCUGGUUAUAGACUGUUCCUUGUAUCACACUGUAAACAUAUUGAACCCUGCAGGUAGGUGGUAAUAUGAGGCCUACUGAAGGCUAACACACUUUCAGAGCCAUGUGGCGACUUAAAGAACUACAGUUCUGGUUACAUCUGAAUUGGCUUCACUCGUGAGUCUGGGUGUGAUAUGCUAUUUCAUUAUGGAACCAACUUUUUUUUUAUUUUUUUAAAGCUUGAAAUCUUUUGCAAUUACACAGUGAAAUAAUAAAUCUAAUAUGAAGGCUGCAGGCAUCAGCCACAACAUCCCGGAGUGGCUGUUAUUAAUUUUCUGUAUGAUCUUGAUCCAUUUGUGUCUAAUGAAACAAAAUCACAGCCUCUCAUAAUGAAUUGAAAAGAGGGGUGCUCACAUUGUUUUGAUCCCAGAAACAAAGGGAUAAAUUUCACAUGAACCAGACUGAAUUGCGGAAGACGCCCUCUGGUCUUUUCCAUUCAUAAAGGCUUUCCUGAAAUAUUUAAUUUCCAUGCAUGUGUGUCUUUGAGAGGAUUUUGGUUAGCUGCAUUUAGAAGGCUAAAGCCAUAAUAAUUACUUAACUAAUUUGCAGCAUUUGUGCUAAACCGAUAAGACGCCGUCUUUCAUGGGAUUCAGAAGCUGCCAUCAAUAAUGUGACUGCUUGGGGUAAAAAGUGAUUUAAAGCCCAUUUCACACUCGGCUUCAGAAAGAGAGUGAUGGCUGGGCAUUCUCUGAUCCUCACAGCUGCCAUCAUGACCACGUCCUCUCCACAAGCUCUGCAUUUAAUUCUCAAAAAUAACACUGAAGUCGGAGGAAAUGUCUGCCUCUUAAAGUUCUCUCCUUCCGACUUUUAUCCUCUUUGUUUAGGUUAGACUAUGUUCACUGAUCUGCACAGCGCGUAUACUCAAGGAAUUUUUCUGUAUGUGACAAAUCCACACUUCAAAUCCACAAGAUUUAUAGUCUUUGAAAAUGCUCAGUGCUGAUGCCGGUGGUAGGGUGGGUGUGGAUGUCUUGGUGAUGGAUUGACCAUUGAGUAAAAAACAGAAGAUCAUGCAGAAAGGGUCAGUUUGAGUCUCCUGUCACUAACUUGUGGUAUAUUAUUAGAGGUGCACUGAUUGCAAAAUUCAAGACCAAUAGAAAAGCCUUAUGUUUAAAAACACAUCCCUGUAGAUAAUAACCAACAGAUACUGAUAGAUUUGUAUACAUUCUUAAUUAGUGUUAACCUCUUUCUGAGCCAUCUCCACGAUUUCAGAACAACCGAAUACAUUCUGAAAGAAGGAAUUCAUUGAACGGGAAAAUGUACAUCCACAAUACCUAUUCACAGAUACAUUUGUAUUUAAACCCCCUCAAGUAAUCCACAAAAGUCAUUAAUUUUUGUACCAUUUCUGUACAUCUUAAUCCAUCCAAUAGCUGUUAAAAUAUUGAAUAUGGUCCAAAUGGUCUGCAUAUUGUGGAAAUGAGAAAUAAAAAAAACAUUGUCACUGCAGAUUGUGCAAGGAUUUUGCUUUGCAUCUUCUUCAGCAAAUACAAUACUCAGAGCAUACCCACAUGCACACAACCACACACAAUUACAAGCAUGCAGUAUUAACUUAGAGAGGAAGAAUAUGACCCAACAGGCUGGCUUGGUCAAUCCCAGAACUACCCUGUAAACAUUUCUAAAAGUGUCCUAAAUUUGACAGAAUAUUGACAUUUUUCCUGGGCAAUUGGUUUUAUCACACAUUUGACAGAGAUCCCAAAUGUUUGAUUCGGCGAAACACCAAUAGAACCAAGUGUGUGUGACUCAAUAAAUGUUCUGCUCUUGUUGCCUUUAGCCAACAAGUCGUUGGGUCAGUGACUUCAUUACUAGACUGAUGGUCCUCUCUGGACUGUGAACACUGAUGAUCAACACAGAGCUCUGCUGAUUAAAGUCCCAUUCCCUCAGCGUAAGCACUAAUUACCAAGACUGACAUGCAGUUCCAGCUCGUCUCGGAGCUCAGAGGUCUGUAGUCUCUUUCUGCCCUCUAUCAUCUUUGGUCAUGAGCACUGACAGCAGACAAGGGAUUAUCACUGUCAUCACAAAAUAGUAGCUUUAGACCAGUAGCUAUUAUUUGGCCAUGAUAGUAUGUCAUGGCUGUUAGAGAACCUUUGUGUGUAUUCACCACCCUGGAAAACACAACCUGUAAAACCUCAAACUUACUGGUUUCUCAUGGUAAGGGGGUACAGUACCUACUUAUCACAAUUUUUCAGCUUAAGAUGUUGCAUUGGCUAAAGCCAUACACUUUACAUCAAUCUCCAUUAAUGUUUAUUUAAAAUAAGACUUUAGAAAGAUUUUCUUAGCACAAAAAUUACCCCAGGGUUCAAAAGCUGCUGCAAUUCAUUUUUGUGUCAAGAGCAGUAAAUAAAUAGACCUUAGCCCUUUUUAUAUUUUAAGCUAGCAAAAGUGUUAUUAAGAAACUCUGCUUUCAUCACUCCUUUGUUUUUUUAAUGUCUCUUUUUAGGCAUUCUUGCCAGAAGGAUGCACAAACAGACCAUAUAUUGUAUAUUAAAAUGUAUACCACAAUUGCUCUCUGGCUUUGAAGCCAAAACAUUCAGAGCUCCCCCUACUGACUGGCUGCAGUAUCAGUCAACUCACUCACUUUAGCAGAUGAAAAACGAGUUCGACUGUAAAAUUAGAUAAUUGUCAAAUGAACUUUUCUCAAACAUGCUUUCUGUCAUUACUGUUACUUCUUAUUGUGCUGAUCUUAUUUUAGAAGUUUGGCUUCGACUAGAUAUUUGAUAACACAACAUAGAUUAAUUGACAGCUCUUUUCACAAAUGCGGGCUAUUACAGCAUUCUGUACCAAAUUAGCAGACUACCUAAUAGGAUUUGGUCAGCAGAGACCGACGCUGGCUGGUGUAUAAAAAAGAGUUAAUUGAAAAUCAAAAGAGCUGGCAGUGAAAGGAGGAAGCUUGCUUGGACAAAACUCUGGUGAGGAGUAACUAGAAAAACUCAGGAAUUAAAGAAUGCUGGACUAGCAGGUGGUGAGGCAGGAUAACCUAAGCAUAAAGAAGAAAACACUGGUAACACUCAAAAAUUGGCAGCUUGAGCACCACAAGUACACACAGUACUACUGGACAAGAUGGAAUUAGCUGGCAGAAUAGUGGAGUGAAGACCAGGCUUUAUUGGACAAGUUGCAGAGCAGAGUGGAAGCAGGUGUGCCUCACCUGCUGUCAUGCCCCCUGCCACACACCUGCCCUGCAAGAAAAAGACCUUAAGGAGAGGAGGAAAGAGACCACAAAAAAAUACAACAAAACCAAAACAGAAUUGUCAAAGACAUGUUGGGACAGUGGAGAAAACCUACAAAAACUAAUGCAAGCGUCAAGUGUCUGUUUCAAAUUAGCGCAAAAUCUGAUCUGCUGUGGACUGUACCCACCUGAGGGAUCUUUGACAUUUUACCUCAUUGUCCAUUUUAUUAAUAGUCAAUAAUUCAAACAUACACACAUUUGACUGUUCCACCUUACCUGCUCCAGCAGUUCUUAGUAAUUACGGCUGGCCCCAGUACCCUAUUUUUCAGGUUAACAUCAGGUAGCUGUAAUUUUCAGUUUUGGCACAAUAACUCCUUCUUUCACCUUCAAACAAACACGGCCAGUCGGAAUAUUUCAGCCGGUCAUAAAAAUCUUAUUCCCAAGAUAAACUUAUCAUGACGGCAGAUAAUAGAUAACUUAAUUUUUGAUUUGGGAAAAUCUGCAUAAUUACAUAAAUAGUAUGCAAAAUGCCUGCAUACUCCUUCACAGUUGGAGCUAAUGUCAUUACCAGCUUGUUGAAGUACCCCCCUUGCCCCCUUAAACAAGUAUUUGGGCUUUUGCAUUAACACAAUGAAAUACAAACUCAACAAAUAAAUCUGAGCAUAGAAGAGAAGCUUACACAACUUUUUUCUUUUGUUCCUUUCUUGGCAUACUGUGGAAAAUCAACAGCAGGCAUCAACCUGGGAUGUUAAUUGAAUGACCUCAGCAAUGUAUUCUCCCUGUCCAUUAGUGUCUGUGCUGCCUAAAGCUCCAUCACUCAGACACAAUAUCUCAUCUUUAGAUUACAAUGUGCCAAAACCUGCUGGAAUUGUUUGACUCUAUCAUGACUGGAAAGCAAAAAAAGAAAAAAAAUGUUAACACUGUAGAUACAUAAACAAAAUGCCCCCUUAUCUCUGCAUGUAUCGCUUAAAUGAUCAAAUAGACCUGUGAGGAAGAGAUAAAUAGAAAGAUGCAGCACAAACACUGUCUUCGUAAUGAGAUUAUGUUCACUCUGGCUGAUUAAAUUUGGCUCCUUCAGGCUUUAGAUUUGUCUGAACAUUUUGCUGAGAUGUUUCUUUUGUGCCUCUGUCACACUACAUGAAGUACAGUAUGCAGCACAAUGGGGCUGACGUUUGUGGAGCAACACAGUCUUCUAAUAAGAAAAAAGUUUCUUUUCAUUUCCUUGAACCACAUUUUUCUCCUCUGAUGGAAAAAUAUGAAAGCUUUUUGAAGGUGUGUAUUUCGUCAGACAAUGAGAUGAAAGGACUUCAGACCCCAUGGCAGAAAUAAAGAACGGAUUUUCCUGGACAUGUUCAAGUCUGCCGUGGGUUGAAAGGACCCAGAGACGGUUAAUAAUCUGAUUUGACAUCCAUUACUUGCUUGCAGGAACAUGGCUAAAGUGCAGGAACCCAUUGUGUAGCUACAACAAACACAGCACAUGGACUGGAUACUGUAAGACAGUGCACUGAGUCCAGACUUAAUGUUGUAGACUGUUGAUGCUGACACAAAGCAGACGCCUCAAUCAUUUCCAUUUUCAGAUCCUAUGUGCAGUUCUACACAUGCAGCUACUAUUUCAUCUUUUGUAAGAUUUUUAACUAUUUACAUAUGAACACAUUCUUCUAUGUGUGUCGUAAUGCCUCUGUGGUAAACUGCUGUCUCAAUGAACCAUAGAAAAUAUGUAAAACAAAUCAAAAAUGCCUGAUGCCAAGUCGGUCUUUUAGUUUGGAUUAUGCUAUUGUGGUUAGGUUUUUCUCAUUUUUACAGUAAUCUCCCGUUAAAGAGAAGAAUGUUCUGGUUGCAUUGUCAUUUUUAUUAAACAGUAUAAAAAAGAACUAAUUCAUGUAAUGAGAUGCUGCAUUGGUCUGGAUGUGUAAACAGAGGAAAAGCUAUCAUAAAUAGCAUAAAGAAAAAAGAGCUCCAGUAAUAAGACACUGUGAUCUUUUCCCCUUGUAUUCCCUCUCUCCAGUGCCGACAUUAUCUCCUGUUAGAUAUGAUGUGAACCUGCGCUGGUAUCUGCUCUAACUCAUUAACAUUAACUGUCAUUGCUGUGAUUUAGAGGGCUGGCACGGCGCUGUUAAAACUUUAACCUCAAGACAUACCUCGAGGGAGGGAAAUAAUGAAGACCAUGACUUUAGCAUAAUAACGUGUCUCCUACAUGGCUGCAUAUUUAUAAAUCAAUACAGUACAAGUAACUUUUUGAACUGUACUAUCACUUAGUAAAAGAGUUGUCUUAUACUUAUUUCUGAAUGUUGUAAUUUGGUUUAUGCUGCUGAUAAGAUCUGAAACUUAUUUGUAUUUUCAAUCAGCUGUGUUUUGUUGAUGCAUCAGCUACUUUUUUUCAGACAGUGAAACAUCAGAUUAAGCUUUUAAAAUUUUGCGUACACUUUUCAGUAAAAAAAAAGGGAAUGAUUAGAUUAUUCGAACAAGUUCAGCUACAAAGAAAUCAGACCUGUGACAAAAAAAAGGGAGAUUGAGAUUAACAUGUUACUUAAACUCUCUCAGUCUAGAACUAGUCAACGCUUGUUCUAGCUGUUUAAUAUUUUUGACUUUAAAUGAGAAAUUAUACAUGGCUUAAUGGAUGGAUAGAUAAAUCGAAAAGCACCUUGCUGAUUUUUCACUGUUAUAUCACUGAACUCUCUCUCUUCUUGAUCAAUUUGUUAUAAGACUAUUGUAUAACCAAACAUCAGGAUGUCUGGUCAACUAAAUACUGAAUGACCCUGAGAAGGGAGAGGGCGGAAUUGAUUUAUUUGUUCCCUGCACUUUGGUUUGGUUUCACUAAGACGAAACAGUGUGGAUUGAUUUUAGAAAACUGCAGAAUAACUGUAAAAGUAGAGUAUAAUAAACAUGUGUCAUCUGAAAAGGCCUAGAGAUAGAAUAUUUUCAGCUCAGAUAUCAAUACGAGACUGUUAUAGCAAAAGCUUUUGUUGGCACUGAAUCUGAUACAUAGCUGGUGUUAAAUUCAUUAAAAGGAAAAGACAUAGAUCAGUAUUUCUAUUAUCCUUUUAAAUGCUGUGAAUCCAGAGGCCCAUUAUUCCCGUCCUUUUAAGAAACUUUCUGUUUCAUCACCUUGAUAAGAUCCUGAAAUAGAUUCAGAGGUCUUUCCUCUACACUGCAAUCAUAUUAAAGAAACACGCUGGCUCUGAGCCUAAAGACCUGGAAGAAUUCGUCACCCGUGAUUAUAACAUUUACUCACCUGACACUGUGUUCCUGGUUGUGUUUUUCCUCCCACAGUCUCUCUCUCUCUCUCUCUUUCACUCUCCUUUGCUUGUUUAUUUGUGCUGGAUUGCUUCCUCAUUUGUUUUGCGUGAUUGAGGAGGGAGACGUACGCAACUGGGUACCGCCUCGGGUAAGAGAGAGGAUCCAGACACAGCUGGUGUGUCACUUGCUCGUAAUGAGCAAACGUGACAGGAUGAAAAUGUGGAGCGUCUGCCAUGUGCCACAGCUGUAGGAGGCUCUUUGAGGGCAAUUUAUAGAUACUCAUACUCAUGUGGCACUGUAAUUGUCCGUGGGCAUAAUAGAACUUUCUUUUCUUUUCUGUCAUCUAUAAGCUAGAAUCAUAGACAAUUACCCAGUUGACACUAUCUCCCAUAUCUCCCAUAUCUCCCAUAUCUCCUAUACCCAGCCUUUAAUGUGUGACUCAUAUGAGGUGGUGACUCAUGGGCUGUUAUCCAAGAUAGUCCCCUUUCUUGUCUGUCCAACAGAGGAGCUAUUGAAAAUCUAUGUCUAAGGAUACUGGGCUGAACCAGUUUCAAUCUAUUGUAAACAAAUGUAAUGAAGGAGAUAAAGCUGCAUGACUGAAUCAUGAAGUUAAGAAAUUGCGUACCUCGUAUGGUCUACUAUAGUGGUGGGCAAAACCGGUCAUUUCAGUGAACCGGAUCAUUCCGGGUAGUUCAGUAAAAAGACCCGUUCAUUUCGUUCUUUUUGGUCAUUUCGGUCAAUCGGUCAUUUGUCAGUCCGCUCGUCGUCGUGCCCCCCCCCCCCGCGGUCCGACGCUGUGACUGCUGCACUCUCCAUUUCCCACCCCCGGUCCAACGCUGCGAUCUCACUGCACUACUUGUAAUAUAAAAUUAUAGUAGGAGUAACAAAAUAUAUAAGGUUUUUAAUGUUUUUUGAUUAUUUUGAGGUGCAUUAAAAACAAUAAUAAAAAGUACAAAAUGUCAACAGACAGUGCAAAUGCGUAUUAAUAGUUGUCUCUCUGCCUCUGGCUGCAGCAGCAGCUGUGUGCCUUUGUGUGUGUGUGUGACUGUCCCACUCGCUCCGGCUCGGCUGUCGGGCCUCGUGCGGCGGCCACUCAACUCGGUCUUUCAGUCAACUCGUUCAUCUGUCUGGAUCUUUCGUUCACUCGGUCUUUCAGCCAACUCGUUCACCGUCUGGAUCUUUCGUUCACUCGGUCUCUCGUUCAACUCGUUCAUCCGUCUGGGUCUUUCGUUCACUCGGUCUUUCGUUCACUCGGUCUUUCGUUCAACUCGUUCAUCGGUCUGGAUCUUUCGUUCACUCGGUCUUUCGUUCAACUCGUUCAUCCGUCUGGAUCUUUUGUUCACUCAGUCUUUCGUUCAACUCGUUCAUCGGUCUGGGUCUUUCGUUCACUCGGUCUUUCGUUCAACUCGUUCAUCCGUCUGGGUCUUUCGUUCACUCGGUCUUUCGUUCACUCGGUCUUUCGUUCAACUCGUUCAUCGGUCUGGAUCUUUCGUUCACUCGGUCUUUCGUUCAACUCGUUCAUCCGUCUGGAUCUUUUGUUCACUCAGUCUUUCGUUCAACUCGUUCAUCGGUCUGGGUCUUUCGUUCACUCGGUCUUUCGUUCAACUCGUUCAUAGGUCUGGGUCUUUCGUUCAACUCGGUCUUUCGUUCAUUUGACCCGUUCUUUCAGUCAACUAGGUCUUUCGUUCAUUUGACCCGUUCCUUCAGUGAACUAGGUCUUUCGUUCAUUUGACCCGUUCUUUCAGUCAACUCGGUCAUUCCGGUCUUUCAGUCAGCUCAGUAGUACUGCUGCGGCUUCUCUAAGCCCCACCCACACACAGAACGAGGCGCGACGAUAGGAUAAGACAGGCAAGCAGUCCCUCUUCAGCCAAUCAAAAGAACUGAACGGAUUGAACGGGUCAUUUAGGGGGGGAGAACUAGUUCAUUUCGUUCAUCAAAAAGAACUAGUUCUUUUGAUCCGUUCGUUCAAGACCGACACACCACUAGUCUACUAGACUAUGAAGUUAUUAAACAGUUGGGGGAAAUGCCUGGUUUUGUAUAAUGCAGCGAGCAAACAGCCAGGCUGUAUCACUAUAAAGUAAAAAAUUCAUAAAAAUGGACUUUUCACACAAACAAAUCUAAUCAUAGCACUGUGAUCAUUUAUAUAGUUGAAUUCCCUCAACUAGCAGCGUCUUAUUUCUACAGAUUUUCAGACUGGGCUGCUCGUAUGAAUGCAAACUGCUUCAUCAUUCGUAACAGUGACUUUUCUUGGGCUUUUGCCUCUCAGUGCUCAGUUAAAUUCCUGCAGAAAGUCGGGUAGAGCUGAUGUGUGAACAAUGCAGAAAAAAGUCAGGAAAAUCAACCCACAUCAAGUGGAAGGGAGUGAUGACAUCCAUAGACCAGAUGCCCUACUUUCCUCCUGUCUUCAAUAAAAAUAGAGAUAAUUGCACAUAAGGAUGAAAAAAGUCUCUGUUGAACCUAAAUAGCACAGAUACAGUAGGAAUCUAAAGGGAUAUAACAAUAUAUAUUUUAUAAGUAACAUGGCAAGGCAACAGCAGACGUUGUUGUUAUCCUUAUUUAGGGCAUCCCAGCUAUAGCUGAUCAUUAUUCAAGUUAUUUUUAGCUCUGUAGGAUAAUAAUGAACAGCCCCCUUUUUUUUAUCUGUUUGCAGUGCAGUUGUAUCUCAUGUCUCAAGUACACUUCAUCUGUACUUCUUGUACUUUAGUGGAGAUUUAGGGAACAGGUGAUGUGGUAGGGUUCUCACACCAAUAAGUAAAUAAAUAAAUAAGCAUUGCAGUAAAAGUUUUGCAAUGUGCAUUCAGACUGGACAAAAUUAAUUUAGAAACAGCAGCUCUUGUCACUUAGCAACUCUGAACGCUGGUUGCCUGGCAACUUCACUGUGAUGACAAGACUGUGGCAGGUCAGUGCGCCCGAUUGUUGUUUCCCAAGAUACAGUAAAAAAAAGAAAGCCUGUCACUUUCCUUUAAACCACAACUUGUGUUUUGUUUCUCAUUAUUGCUUUUGUUCUGAAGAAUUACGAUAUGAUAAGGCAGCUUUGUAAGUUUUAGUGUCAGAGUUUUCAAACUUCAGCUGCUUUGUGCUUCCAACAUUUGUGAAUUUGUGUUAUCAAACCAUUGGAGAAAAAAAAAGUGAUCUAUUUAAAAUAAAAGAUGUCAUUAGAUACGAUAAGCCUGUCUGUGUGAGUUUAAAGAAACUUUAAGAUGGAAACUGGGUGGUUUACUAGUGAAACUGUGUAAUACAGUUUGACAUACACUUCGCUUCUCUUUUGGACUGACUGAAGAAGCUUCACGUUAAAUCCUAGGAUCUCUCUGGCACUUUUAAUGUCAGCACUGUAGCCAACACUUAACUGUAUUAUUUAUAUUUUCUGACAUGUCAUAAUUGACAGGAUUCAUGAUAGCUGUCCAAAAAUCUGUGAACUGUUUAUUACUGCCCAAGUCAAAUAAACAAGUUAAUCAGAAUAAUAAAAAACACUAAGUGGCUUAAAGUUAACAUGUGGACUGCAAAAAAGUUUUUCUCUAGGAGCCCUGUAACAGAGCUAAUACCUGCUCCUACUACUCAGUAGCAUUUUGUGUCAAUUUUUUUCUUGUGUUAAAAAAAUGAGAAGCUUAAAAGCUGUUUCGGCUUUAAAAACCAUGUGGAGUAAAAGUUUUUGAAACUUUUUAUCAUUCAAUCAAAAAUAUUGUGGAUUUUAUGCAUUUUGAGAUAAUUGUUGCUCAGCACUGAUGCUGGGCUUGUAAUCGUGUUUGAACAGCUGCAGUCUUAAAAAUCUCAGCCAUGCCUGACAUUCCUGUCUCCUUCUUUUAUUCUAAAUCGUCCCAGUCCUUUAGCACUGGACUGAGGCUCGAGCAUAUCUGCUCUCACUCUGACGACAUGAUAUAGAAAACCAUAUAGGAGUCUAUACGGUCAACUGCAUGCCCAGAAAUAGUGUGGCUGUCCAAAAUGCAGUCCUGCUCUGAUUGCAGCCUGAGCUCCUAUGAGGGGGAAGGAGGAAGCUGCCAAAUCCUCCCUGCAGCCCGUCAUCUAUCUGCCCUCUUCAGACACGCAGGAUGUCAGUGGACUGUAGAAAUAAACUGCUACAGGUAGAAAGAGGGUGUUUCAACAGUAGGAUAAGUUUUGCAUAUAAAAGAUAUUCCAGCCAUGUUUUGAUACAUGAAAAAAUUCACAGGCUGCUCCUUUAUGUCCUCCGUCUGUGCACUGAAGCUCUGAUUUAAUCUCAGAGUUUUUUCUUGCCUGGCUUUUAUGAACAUUUCCUCUCAUACUUGGAGUAAUAGUUUCCUUUUAAGGGAUUAGCAUUUUCAUCUUUUGUGAGGAAUCUUCGGUGUGAGAUCAAAGUCGCUCAUUAAUAGAUAAAAAAAUCGAAGUACCACCACACUUCAACCUAGUUUUCUGUCAUACUGGCUUCAGUUUUAGCAGGAAGUAAAAAAAGACCACCACAGAAAUUAUUAUUCAGUUAAGUAUUCUUCUUAGAACAGUAACAAAAUAUUUUAAGCUGAGUUUUCACCAGAUCUUUCCUUUUUAUUCCUCCUCCAGAACAUCUGCAUCAGAAGCACACAGAGAACGUAGUUUUAUUCAGUUAAUGCUGCAUAUUUGGAGCUUCAUUUCCACACCAUUGCCACAGAGAUGUCAGGUGAUAGAUGUUCAAAAUAGCACUCAGGUUAUUCUCCAAACUGUCACCCAUCAGCUCAGGAGUUACAACAACAAAAAUAUUCCAAUCUCUGAAAUUAAACCUGAUUUUGUUCAAUCUUUGCUGUGACAUGCUCCGAUUGAGAACAUCUGACCUCUUGCUUUGUUUGUCUAAGUAUUCUCUUACCUAACAUGGAGGACCACAAGGGUCACAGGAUAAUUCAAACACAAUCAGACAAUUACAAAAAGAGUUAAUUAACUGGUUUACAAAUUCACUGAUUAAAGAUAACAGAGGAAUUAUGAAGGAAAUGGAUCUUUAAAAUGUCAAAUAAUAAAUUAUAAAUGCAUUCCUUAAUAAAAAGUUGAAUUUGGAAAUCAAUUUGAAAAAGAGUAAUAAAAAAGUGGAUUCACAAACUGUAUGAAGAAUACAUCUUUUAAUCAGCUAUUUAAAAGGACCGUUCCUUUCCCAUUUUCACCUCCACUUCCUGGCAGCUUUUCCUAAUCCUGGUCAAAAGAAAGAUUUGAGAAGACCAUUUUCAAUUUCCAUUUCCCCUCCUCCCUUCGCCUCUCCAUGACCCUUUGGGCCGUCAGCAAGGUAAACACAAUGCAAAUUAGCCAUGAAACAAGCUCUCUGAUUGGUUAAAAUCUAGCCUGUUACAAUCUCAGGUACUUGGGGAGGUGACUCGUAUUAUAUGUUGCGAUCCUUUAGAUUCAACAGGUUUUAACAUCUGUUCAAAUGACAAGGAAUUAGUUGCUGUUUCACUUGUGUCCUGCCUCUAAAGUGCGUUGUUAACCUGAGAGACAGAUACAGCUGUAAACUCAAAUGGACAAGUGAUGGGUCCACUCACAGCCUGAGGAGUCAAGGGUGUGUUUACACCAGCCAGACCAGUAUUUGUCAGAUCAGGGUUUAGUGACUCCUAUAAGGAUCCAGCAGAAAUAAAAUGAUCAUUAAGGCAAUUUAGUAUAGCUGUCUUAUUAGACACUGUACCAAGAAGAGAAGUUAAAGAAAUUGGCAAGUCAUUAGUUGUCACAUGAUUUGAAGGAGAUAUUAAGACUUUCUCAAAUUUUGGGGGAUCAUUUAUAGUUUUUAUGGAUUCAUUCAAGUGAAAGCCAGACUUAGCACUCGUAAUAAGGGCAGUACAUUCAUUUCUAAGCUGGCAAAAGCUGAGCCAGUUUAUGUCUCUUUGUUUUCCGAGCCCUGGCCCAAGCAUUGUCUCUCUCUGUGAGGAGGUUUCCAAUUUCAGAGGAAAACCAGGGAUUAUUUGGACCCUUCACCCUAAAUUUUUGAAAAGGAGCAUGUUUAUUCACUGUACCUCAGAAUUCAUCAUAAAGAUAUUUCAGAGCCAACACUAUAGCAUCUUUUUUCAAGAUUAUGACAACCAUUUCCAUUUUUCUGUUUAUUUGGCACAUUUUAAAAUACAAUAGAACACAACAACAACCACGAUAGUGGACGGACAUAAACAAUAGUCGAUUAAAUUUUAAAAAGCAUGCCAGGGAAAUCCCAGAAAAGGGGCUUGAAGAGGAGCAUAAACGUUUACCUUGUGAUUGAAAAUUUGCAUACAUCUAGUAUGGAUACCAAACACUGUAACUUUGCAGUUUUUGUUGUGAAUGUGGAAACUCAUAAUACCACCCCUUUGUAUGAGCCCUGAACUCUUUUUUACAUACAGAUCCAUAAACAGCAUAAAUUGAGUGACAUCGAAUUAAACUGAGAAUAAAGGCCUUGCUCCCCUUUUUAUUCUGAUGAUAGUACACACCGGUGAAGGUCUGACCCUCUAUUUUAUGAAAAUUUAAGAGAGACCUGUUUUUUGACAUCAUCUUUGUUGUUAGAUCUUGCUAAUAAAGAUGCAGGUGUACCUUAUGAACAGCUGAUAUUGUGUUCUUUACUGCUUUUGCUCAAAGUUCAUUAGGGAUUUUAAAUUUGAUUCACAGCUGUCGUAUUAAAAAUAUUUUAUUAAAUAUAUGCUUUUGCUAAACUUACUUGAAGGCCAUUGACUUCUAAACUUUUGUCAAAUUAUUAGGAACAAAAAUACAGUCAAAAGAAUAACACUGAGUGCAUUUGCUUCAGUCACCAUGGAGACCGCAAUGCUGUGCACUGUGCUAGGCUGCACUUCUUUUCAUGGUAAGAGAGGGUACUGAGUGUAAGGUCAUAAUACCUCCUCUGACGUCAUUGUGACUCAUUUUACUUCACACGGCAUUUACAAAAGUGUGAAAAAAGACGAGCUGACAUUAUCAACAAAGAAAUAAUCUGUGCUGUUGAGGAGUUCUGCGGGUUUGCCUGACUGAGUAUAAUUUGGAAAAGUGGUGUCAGACCUCCUAAUGAUUUUGCAGAGGUGUUUUAGAGUAAGUUUGAAUGGUCUUUGAGCUGAACCGCAACUUGACCAAGUGACUCUGACAAGUUCUGGAGGAUAAAAUCGACCACUUGAGAAUUUCUUUACUGGCUUAUUUUUUUGCUGAAGGUUUAGCACAACAUAAGCAUACAGACUAAAACCUGCAGUUGAACUGUAGAGUUGUGGACAAGGUUGAUAAACAGGAAUGAUUCACUGCUCAUUUUUUUUCAGACUGGGAGGUCAGAUGUUCAAAAGACGCACUCCAGCAGCAGACAUAUAGCUGCCAUUCGGCCAAAUCUGUCCCUCCUGAGGAAAUAAGUUGUUUACCAGACAAUGACCUUUAGCUGCUGUGUGACUGAUGGCUCCUGUCAAAUAAGUGCCAUUAUGAUAUCAUUAGCCCUAAAAUACCGCAAAGUAAGAGCUCUGGGGUUGGACUGGUCAGUGCAGUGUGUGAUCCUGGAACAAAGGGCUGCUGUUUCUUCUUCCCUUACAUCAACAGAUUCUUUUCUUACCUAUGAAUGUCCCUUUUCGUUUACUGCUUCUGCAUAAGAGAUGGAGAAUCUGCACACAGGUGACCAGAUUUUGUUAAUGUAUAGGCUUCGUUUUUAGUUGGUAGUACAAGCUGUAAAAUCCUCAAUCUGCUCUUUGACCUUUUUGUCAGUUCCAACGCAAUUCUGUUUCUCCAGUCACCAGUUUGACUUUAAACAAUGGCAACAAACAUGAAAAGAAGUCUUGGCAAGAAAACUUUUGAUUGUAAUGCUGGCCACAUAAACUUUUCAUAGCUGCCAGAGGCUGUAGUCAUAAACUGAUAGCCAGUGGAUUCCAGUUUUACUUUAUAUAAACUAAAGACAGUUAUGGGUUUAUGAAAAAUGAACAGGAUUCCCAAGUGAAGUCAGUAUAGAAAGACAGUAGGUUAACAUGCACAGAUAAGUCCAGCUCAAUUAGGCAAUUUAAAGGGAUAUUCCGGCGUAAAAUUAACUUAGUGUCAAACACACCGUAACACUGCUUUAGACACCCCCUUGAGAGAUGAAUGUUGUGGACUGCUUGCCUCUAAGUUACACCAACUUUUGUAAUGACCACACGGUAGGAAUACACAGUGGUCUAUGGAUCCACACGCACAGCUCAACCAAAAAGCCAUCAUUACUUCAUCAUUGAAUUAAUAAUCAUCAUAUUAAAUGUUCUUCAUUGAGCUGCAUCCCCCCUGCUGUCAGUAGUGGACUUGUCCAAGGUCUUCCUACAAACAGCGGCUGCUGGAAGAGAGUAGGUGAGUUGUGUUUAGUCUCUUUGCUAAAGAAAUUAGACAAAGUUAGAAAGAUGUUUGGUGUCUAGUACUAUGGCUGGGACCCUAUAUGUGCUGUUGAUGAAGUUAGGUGCUGUUCUGAGCAUUAUUUGACUAUAGAGUGGCUUUUUGGUUGAGUGCGUGGCCCUGUAGACCACUGUGUAUUGCUAUCGUGCGGUCGUUACUAAAGUUGGUAGUAACUCCUCUCGAGGAGUUGUCUAACUCAGUGUUACAGUGUGUUUGACCCUAAUGUAAUUUUACGCUGGAAUAUCCCUUUAAUUGGACUACUAACCUUGUCCCAGUAUGACUGUACAAGCACCUGGCAAGAGUCCAUUCAUUGACAAAAGUAUUUCUGCCCCCGCUGCAGUAGGUGGUGAAAUAUCUCCUUUUAUCUUUUUGCUGUUGGGCCAUCCCUGGGUUGACCUUUUGUUUCUUGUGCCAAAACAAUCAACCAACGCAUCAACAAGAGACCACCAGGCUGAAUAUUAAAAAAGGAAAAUACCAACAACUUUACAGCUCUGCACCUUUCACACACACAGAAUCUGUGGAGCAUGUGCAGAACACUGCUAGCCUGAGCCUGGUUAUGGUGUGAACAUACAAGAGAAAAUAGAUCCCCUGCUACUGCAAUGUCAGUCAGACUAAUGUGUUUCCAUGUGUUUUAAAAAAAGUCCAGUUUCAGUCAGACUAAGCAAUAAAUCUGUUUUUCAAACAGCAUGUAAACAUACUGACAGAGCCACACUCAUGGCUGUCUGGAUUCAUCUCCAAACCUUGUUCUUUUGCAGCAUGCCAUUCCUCACUUUCUCUUCUAGGUUUUCUGCUCUCUCCACUGUCCAAUCCUCUCUCCUGUUUGUGUUGAUGCACGACUUCUCUCAGAUUUGAUAACAACUCAAUAAAAAAAAAAUCCAUUUAAUGUCCGAUUGAAAACAUCACGUAGAGGAUAGCCUGAUAGAGUUUACAUCCACUGCUUGCCAACAUCUCGAGUUGUUUAGAUUUGGAUAAACAUGAUUUGGGGGACUGAUGGUGCGAGUAAUCAGGCAUGACCCUGAUCAAUUUGAUUAAGGAAAAGCAAUCAAGGUAACACUGCCUUGAAUCAAAAUCCACUUAAUAUCCUUCAAAGACUCUUAAUUGAACAAUAAUCUUUCUCCAAAUUGUCACUAAGAAGCACUUAAGACAAGAUGACAUCAGUUACUGAGACCCUAAACUCACAGGGGGAAAGAGUUUGAUCAAUGUACAUUUCCACAGAGACCUUGAGGAUCAUUCCUCUUGAAUGAAAUUCAGUCAUUUCUCUGGGAACACUUUACUGCCUUUCGAUAAAUUGCAUCUUAAAGCUUUCAGGCACUGUCUUCAGAACUGAGUUAUGGUAGAUGCCUCUUUGAAAAAAUCUCCUGUGAUGACAUCCCCCCUUAGAGAUCUUUUUUAAAAAUGGGAUUAAGAAAUAUGCGUCAUUAUUUGGAAGAUGCACCGCCAUCCCCAGGGUCAUGUGUAGACUGUGCUGCCAAUCAGGUCACAGGUGAAGACAGCAAGAGACUUUGGCAUCCUGGGAGUCUGGCUAGGACGCCUGUGUCUGGGGAUCUAAGUGUCAGCUGCCUGAGGGGACAGAGCAGGAGUCAUUGGCAGUGCAAAAGACUUGGCCACACUGCUACAAUAACACUGGGGAAAAAAAACUCCUGGAAAUCAGCUCUCUCAUUUUUACAAGUUGAUUUGCUCCAGAGUUUCAGGAGACAAGACAGGUGAGAAUACCAAAGAUAGUGUGCAGCAUGGACAUAGACUUAGUGACACUAGUUUAUGAAGAGGGAUUUUGAAGUGAUGCUUGCCAACAAAUUAAGAGCUCAUCCAGAAACUGUCAAACAGUUGCAGUUUAGGCCAUAGUUACAAAAUGCUCAUCUACCGGUUAACCCAGUCAAGCACCUAAAUAUGCCUGAAUUGGUAUAAGUCUUCGCCUGAGAGUCAGAAUCAUUCACCUUCUGUACUUGAGUUACAAAUGGAGAAACAAGGUUGAGACAUCAUUUUUUUAUCAGACUGUGGACACAUUCAGCCCUUUUUAAAUUAAUCUUUUGAACUUUUUGCCCUUUUUUAACAGGACAGCCUGAGAGAUAGACAUGAAACAUAUGGAGAGAAUGGGUAUUAACAUGCACUUGAUCCUAUUUGGGCCACAGAUCAAUCCAUUGACCAGUGAGAUGAAGACCCUAGCCGUACAUCGGGCCUCAGUGUAACAUAUUUUUGCUAUACUGAUUAGUCAUGCAUUUGAAUUUGGAUUUUUAAUGUAGUUCCCUCUGAAUUUGAUAGUAUAAGACUGUAUUCAAACCUGUCCAAUAGCGCGGUUUGACAUUUGCAUAUUUAUGAGGUCAAUAUUCAAAUUUGCAUAUGUACUUUAAGGUUGAGUUUACCUUGAAAGAGAAAAAGUCACCUCUCGUCUCUGAAAUGAUAUAUUAUCAUCCUCGACAAUGGGAUUCAAAGACAGCAGUACAAUAGUGUAUCGUAAUACUGGCAUGUGUGACACUUUCCUCUGUUGUGUGUAUAACUCCAGUGUAGCAGCACAUCAUUUUUCUUCCUCAAACUCUCUUAUCUGACUUUGAGGCUGGGUAAGCAAACGGUUCUGCACAGAAGUGUUUUAGGAUUGAUUGUUCAGACUCACAUCAGCAUUAUCUUCCUCCUGUUUGAAGUGAAGUCACACUUUUAUGGGCAGCCAGUUCAGUUUUUAGUGAUAUGAGGGCUGAGAAAAUGAAGAAAGUUCCAGUCAAAGAACCACUGACCUGUUCUGUUUGCCUCAAAACACUUUGUCCUCAAAAUGUGGAGUUCAAGUUUAACAGGCUGUGAUUCAGUGCCAACAUUCCUCAACAAGGAUAUAAAAUGGAAAUAGCUCUUUAUAAAUCACAUGACAUGUCCACUUAGAGGAGAGAAUAUGGAUAUUAAAACAGCCGUACGGAACAAUGUGUUAUAAAGGGCUAUGGAGAAAUUUAUUCUGGUUCAAGUCAGGUUAUUCUUCUGAGCUCUGAAUGAAAGCGGUGUGAUCAUGCGUGCAGUGAGUCUGCCUCACAGGAGAGCUGAUGGGAUCUUAUCAAUGAAAGCUUCCUGACUGCAGCCCAGAUAGCAGCUUGCCUGGCACUGCCCUCUGAUUACUGCUGCCACAGAGAGCUGCUUCAACUCCAGCAGCACUGUUAGCAUGACAGUGCACAUUAGUGAUGGUGGAGGGUAGAGGAUGUGGAGGAGAUCAAAGGGAGGGUGCAUAAAGACGGAGGAAGGAGAUGAAGAUAAAGCACGGAAACAAACAAGAGCGCUAUUUUUGGUGCUUAAUGGGGUAACUGGGUUGGUGAGAUUUUUUUUCCAAGUUUCUCUCCUCUCUUGCCGACACAUGCUGAUGCAUACUUGUGGCUUGGAGAGCUGCCUCGGUGUGCAGGUCUGUGGUCAGAAAUGCUUUUAGGAAUAAUGAAAAACAUACAAAAACCAUCCUGCUGUUUUUUGCUGGUUAAAUGUGUCUCUUGUUGACACUGUAUGUAGGAAGAAAACUAUUUUGGUAGAGUGUAAUUAACAUAGACUGUCUAUACUACGGACACCUGUGUUCCUCCUUCCGCCAGUAUAUGGGUUUUAAGCCGUUCCGCGAUUUUUCUCCACUUCCUGAAACCAACAUUGCGCAGUAGCAUUGUACGCAUUCGGCAGGAGAGUCGCCGUGAGUUACUGUGAUGAUGCUCGACUCAAACAGUGUAUCCCCCGGGUGAGCUACGCAAUCUUCGCAUGACCAUAGGAUGUAUCAAGUGUCAAUCAUAGAAAACAUGAACCCCCAAUAACUUUUAAAAAUGGAGCUGUACAGAAAAAAAGAGGACUUGUGAACAAACCAGUCUUACAUUAACUACAUGUCAACAUCACAAGCAGGGGGAGGGGGAAUUUAUAUUCCGUGUAAUUAAUUUCUGAAGUUUGUCCACAGCACCAUAGGGAUUGCUGGAGGAGGUGGGAUUAAAGCCUAUACUGCAGCCUGUCACCAGAGGGUGCUGUUCUCAGGGUGGCUUCACCCAGCAAGGAGGCAGACGUUGUCCAUUCUAUAUACAGUCUAUGGAAAUUAAACAUCCAAUCAGACCAGGCAGCAGCAACUUAAAACAUUAUUAAAACAGAACUGGUACAUCUCGCCAUUUAUGGUUGUCUCAUUUGGUUUUGUAACUCGUGAGAAUAUGGACUGGCACCACUGCCCCUUUCAGUGAAAAGCCCAAUAAUUGUUAUAUUCUGUAUUACUGUACAGAAAGUUUAGGGAACAUGCAAAUUGUAUAUGCUAUAUUUUUUAUAAUUAGUAUUAAUCUGAUUUCUUGAUAUGUGUCUUUUCUUAAAUUCUUUUAUUGUUUUGGCUCACUGUUGCUGUAACACCAUAAUUUCCCAGUUUGGGAUCAGUAAAGUAAUUCUGAUUCUGAUUCUGAUUCUGAUGAAGAAGUUACAAUAUAAUUGAACUCCUUACAAGAGCUUUCACAUCUGAAAAAAUUCAAAAUAUUUUAGGCGUAUGUUUGAACAACCUGAAUUAAGUUUACCAUAAAGAUUUUUCAGAUUGUAAAAUAUGUUUUGGUCAAGUUUUUGAAGAUGUAACAUUCAGGAUGAUGUAUGAGACUUUCAUUUGACGUAAUUCUGAAUAAAUAAGAAAUUAACAUUCAACAUGAUACAUUUUGAUAGAGUGUAAGUCGUGAUAACUAUUUUUCUUCUAGGGCUUGAAAAUUGCUUUAUUUAUUGUCAGGAAGAAAUCCUGUUUUAAGGUCUCAAGGAGACACCUUCUGAAUGCAAAUCCACUGCAGGGAUGUGUGCACUAGUCAAAGUCUGAGUCAUCAGUGCAGGAGUUCAUGAAAAUGGAUGUGAGCAUCACAACACUGAAUCUCACAAUCCGCAUUUGUGAAGAAGUGCAUCCGAUUUCUUUAGGCUGUGAAUCUCUCUUUGUCAAAUCAGUCUUAAAUCCUGAAGGUGAUGAAUGAAGAGCUGUUUUAAGCCAGAAAUAUCCACAAGUAGAGAGUGAAGGAGAAGACGAAGUGAAUCAAAGGUUGACCACAGCCUUGAUGAAACUUGUUCAGUCAGCAGAGUCAGCCCCUGUCUGUGUGUCUGACCCCGACCAGCAUGCCUGAUCCUCCAUGUUGGAGCAUCAGCUGAACUCAGGCCGUACUCCCAAGCCUUCCUGUUGAUUUCUUGUUAACAAACAUGACAGUGAUUGACGGAAAGGUCCAAUUACAGCCACAACUGGCUGACACCUGCACAGGUCACCCAGUGCCUGUUCAGACUAAAAGAAAGUCUCAUUGAUUUACCAGCUGAGGUUUUAUUGGAGGCUGAUGAGGAUCUGUUACUGAGCUGCUUGGAGUGAGAUGAGUCUGCAUUGGAUUCAAUUAAUGAUGCAUCGUGGGAGGUUGAGGUAGUGAUGUGAGUGCUGUUCUUCUGCUCUUAAAAACUGCGUUUAAGUAAGAGGUAGAAAAAAAAGGCUUAGACUGGGUCUACAUAUUAUUUUACAUACAUGAGUGAAAGAUUUGGGACUCACUGUCAAUAUGCUCUUACUGUUUUCAUUUUUGAGCAUUAGAGUGUUGUUGCAACUUAGUAAAACAACGAUUAUUGGUAUGUGUGUGUGUGUGUAUGUAUGUAAUGUAUGUAUGUAUGUACGUAAUGUAUAGAUGUGUAUAUAUAUAUGUUUAAUGUAACAGUUGAUCAUUAAAAACACAGCGAUACAGUCUUUGUCCUCCAGAAGUACCAUUUUAAGUCACAGCUCCACAAAGUGAGCUACAUUUAAUGUGGAUCAUCAGUUUCCGAUUGAUAUUCAAAUAAUUGAAUGUUUCCAAAUCAUUGAGUCCCAACAAGGACAUCUCCUCAGUAAAUCAGUUUGAUGAUGAUCAACUCUUUGUCUCAUGUCAACGACGGUUACGAAAAUAAUUCUUUCAGCUGAUCAUGUUUAUCCCACACUAGCCAAACAAUUAGUCAAAUGAUCUGAAAUCAUUAGUGGUAUCCCGUCUGUUGAUGUGUCUGUCUGAGAUUUACAACAUAUCAGCCUGUGUGUGUCUUCUAACCCUCAUGAUCAUAAGAGGUAUUUGUGGAUUCAACAUCAGGAAACACUUGAAUUUUGACUUGUUGAACAAAAAGAUAAACAAUAAUCUAACAAUUUACCGGAUCAGCACCACUUUGAGUUUAUGAUAUCACUAUUUCACCGUAAUAAACUUUUCAACAGUAGAUGGGGUAGAUUUUUAAAAAUUUAAUCUGUUUUCAUUCAGCUCUAUGACCUAUGAUCUACUGAAAGCAGCAUACAGGAAAUGGAGCAACCGGAAUCCUGGAUAGGAAUUUCUUCAAAAUCAAAACAUGAAUAACUGUUUAUUGAGUAAUUAUCCUCUUUUAAGAAAUUUUAAAUCCCAGUGCUGGUGGUAAACCAUAGAAAUGGAGGAGACACAUGAGUUAAUUGUGUUUGUGAACUAAUUAAUGUGUGUGUAGUGUUCUCCGUGCAAGAGAAUUAAGUGGAUUAGUCUGAGCUCAUUGGAUAUAGAAAAUAUUUGAGUCUUCUUUAACACACUGUGCCAGUAGUUCCCUCAAAUCUGAGUAAAUAUCACUCAUGUCAAAACUCUUGUAAAAGAAAUGAGGAUGAUUUUACGACUUACUACUACUCUACCACUACUCUUGGGGAGUUCCUUACUGUAUAUUUUGCUCUAAUCUGCCUUCAAAGGUUUUGUAAUGUUUUGGCCUGAACAGACCCGAAAUAAAGAAGCACAAAUCAUUAACAGAAGAAAUAUAAGAAAGAGACAAUUAGCUAUUACGAUGGUUUUAAAAAGUUGGAGCCUGAUCUUGAUCCAAACUGAAUUAUUGUCCAGUUGAAAAAUGCCGUUUGAAAGAGUUUGAUAAAAGCCCUGCAGUGUUUCUUUUUCCAUCAGUCAGGAGACCAGAAAACUUUGACUGAGGUCAAAGCAGGGUUUGCUAAAGUCUACACUCAGAUACAGGCAUGGAUAACCCUCUCACAGCUUAUAAAGGACAUAUGAGAUUUUAUUUAGAGAUGUUGAUCACCAGCAGCAGAGCGGGCUCACCCCUGUUGACCCGAUGAGUGAAACAGUGCUCAGAGUUUAUGUGAUCUGGGCUCUGAGAUACAACCUGCCAAGAUGCUCUUUUGUUGUGCUGCAAGACUUUAGUGCAAACACAGAACAAACUCAGCUCCCCCGCCAGUUGUUUAUUCAGAUUUAUUCCACAGAAUCAACGAAACUCAUUCACCAUCCACUGCUGAUUUAUUUUGGGCGUUUGGGAGCUGCUGUCAGUGAGGAGAGAAAUCAAACUACUGGCAACACUUUUGUGCACCAAACAGCACUGUAAUGUUCACUUAUUGCAAAAUAUAAAAUCCACUUAAGUUCUGGCCUACCCUCAUACACAUUUGUUUGUUACUUUGAUUCACAAUUCUCCCCAUGAUCAUUUCACUGUUUAAGAGCCAAAGCAGCUUAAAAGUUAUCACCUCCAAUGUGUCGGCUGUUUUAAAAGCCUAUUAUGGAUCCCACUUGUGCAUUUGUGUUGUCAGGACUCUUUAAAAAGAGACGAUUUGACUUGUUGGCUGCUCUGAGUUAAGGUGACUAAGAUCAUCAGCUGAGGAGGUCCUUAUCUGUGAUCCUUUUGUAGUGAUUAUGCUGCAUUAAUGUAUUGUGUGAUUUGUUACAGUCUUGAUUAAAAUAUCUGAGAGUGACUAGAAGAGCUGACUUUCAUAUUGACACUAUUUAAGAUGUUUCCAACAGUUUUCAAGCCAUAAAGCUAUUAUGGCUGCAACUAACAGCAGCCUUGAUCAUGGACUAAUCAUCUGUUAUUAAAGUAAAUAAUUGACUGAUCUGAUAAAGAAUUGCAAAGUGAUACUUAAUGGAUUUUAUUGAGGAAUUACCUUUUUUAUUUUAAAUUGCUCUUACAGCUAAAAACAGGACAUUAAAGCUUCUGUGAGUAACUUUGAGUUUGUGGCAAUUUUUGCAUCCUCUGUGGAAAAACAUUCAUGGCUUGUCUUCUGAAAAAAUAUUGUCCUGCUGACUUUUUACAGCCAAAUGUUUCAUUUAUCCUGAAUAUUUUAUAUGGACAUUGUAAAAACGGGACUGGAUCUUCAGCCGUGCUGCUGACACCUUCCCUCUCACACAUCAGGGAGUGCCAAUCCUCAGUCUUGUUGCUAACAGUCUUGUUUGCUUUUGUCUUGCUUUUGGAUAUCAUAGAGAGGCACAUUUGCCAAUUUCAGUCCAUUUCAUGAAGGUUAAAAAAACCCUCAUAGGAGUCACUUCAUGUCUCAAUAUAUAAUGGACAUGUGGUGAAGUGUGGCUCUCUUCAACACUUGCUUUUUUAGUUUAAACUAGGAAACAAGGUCCUUUUUAACUAAACCAGGAAUACUGACAUUAUAUUAACCCAAACCAAGAGUUAUUGCUGAUCAAAAGUUCUUCGCCCAAGUCAUAGUCAUACUCAGAAAAGCCUCUUUGUUUUGUUUAAAGGGCAAAGACAAACAUUGUAUUUCAGGAUGUAAUCUGAAAGACUUGUGGGUCACCUUCCUUUCUGCUUCCUCGUCUCAUUCUUUCAGUCUCUGUGCUGAAUAAAUAAAAAAAAAUCUGUUGCUACUGUUUGUGUUUGAAACACUUUGUGAGAAGUAGAACGGAAGAGUGAGCUGCCGGUGACGUAGGAGGAGACAAAGACCAGGAACUGUGAGAGUGACGGAGACCUUCAGCACAUUAAAUGAACAAAGCCUGGCUUUAACUGGCACCGAGAAGUCCACUUUAACGUAGACACAGGACUAAAACCAUCCUUUCUUUAGACUGCAUUACUUUCUGCACAUUUACCUUUAUUCACAGGAACAUAGGUUUAGAUAGAUCGAUGGAUAGAUGGAUCUAAUUUUGGUAUAUUGUCAUCAGAUCUGUUAAUUUGUCAGUGGGACAACAAGAGAAGGAACACGGCUCCUUGCUGCUGAUGGAUGGCUGCAAUAAUAAACUCAUUUGAAAUAAUCAUCACACUCCCCCCUGUCGCCUCCAACACCUCAUUGGACAGAUGAAUUGUUUAUUUGGCCCAUUCACCACAGAUCUGCACUCUGCCAGUCAUGACAGCUACUUUUCAUUUGACUGAUAUACAGAAACAGAAACAGAAACAGAAACGUGGCAAAUUUGAGAGCUGAUGAGUUUCCAAACAGAGCUUACACUUGAGCCAAACAGUGCUUUUGUUGGAGUUUCUUAAAAUUAGCUAACUUACAAAGUAGACCUGAUCCCCCUCUGUAGCCGUUAACAGCUUAGCUAGCUUGCAUCUUCUUUUGCUAACACUCUUGCUAUUAAUAAGUGCCCCACAAAAACAAACAGACAAACAGUCCCUUCAAGCAAAAGCCAAACUCUUGCAAGUUUUUGUUCUUGUUAGUCAUCAGUUCUUCUUUGCCAAGAUGAUCCAUCAGGCUGACAUUUGCAGCAUGAUUAUUAUUCAAUUGUGCUCCGGACUCAUCACAAUAAAAGGCCAGAGCAAAAUAAGCAGAUGUAGCAAGUUUAAAGGAAUUAGUCAUUUUACAAAUUUCCAUCUAUUAGUAUUAUAAUCUAUCUAUUAGUAUGAUAAUACAUUGUGUGCAUAAAAAUCACACUUAGUUGGUUCCUGUGUCUGAUGCUGACCAGUGUGUUGUGCUUUUAACAAAUAUUUAUAACACCUUGGGCCUUUCCAAAACUGCUCCUCACACCCUCCCCCUACAAACUUCCCCUAUGUUUGCAUGUGCCUGCUGAGUGCCAUGCAAAACCUCUGAAUGUAGAGUGGAAGGUGGUUAUCAGACCCUCCCUCAGCAAGUCAUGGAGAUGUAAAAAAUAUGAAAGUAUAUGUGCACAGAUCGAAUCGGCCCUUUCCACUCAGCACAUUUUUUUAUCAUGAAGAGUUUUCAUGACCAUCAAAUUAAAAAUAAUGCGAUAACUAAAAAAAUGCUACCAGAAAGGAUGAGGAGUUUGCUCUCAAGUUGUGGAGAGAUUUUUCUGAGUAUGCUCAGUAGUUAUUUAUGUGAACCCCUUAUUAUUUGUGUAACAUGUAACCAUGGUUAAAUAAAGUCUUUGCUUCCAUGGGAGUGAGAGAAAUCUGUCUCAAAGCUUGCAGUUGAAUCUGCUACAUCUUUCUAAAUUGAGCUUCAUCAAGCUCUAAAUGCGACUUCAAACACAAUUCACUCAGGCGGAGUGGAAGAAGGUAGGGACCAAUUUGACAGAGGUUCAUCUUCUCUCUUGAAUUGAUGACACCAGAGGUGCUGUGCUUCACUCAUCUCUUGUUACAGUCUUGUUAAAAACACAGAUGGCACCAGAUUACUAAUAAAUAACCUGAGGUUAGCUGAGGGCAAACUGGAGGAUUUAUGGUCGAAUUGCAAAAUAUUGCGACUGUUUUUUUCAAAAUUAUAAGCUAUCUGCAGUGCUUUACUGAGAUAUCUAUUCAACAGUACAAAAAUCUGUCUGCACAACCUUUAACACAGCGUAAAAAGUAAAGUAAAGCUCCCCCUACCAGUGUCUGAAGGCUUAUUUCAACUUAAGUGGAGGCGAGUCAAUGAGAUGUCCAUUCAUUCCCAUGGUAAUGUCUGUAAAACUCCUCUUCUGUGCAUGAUUUCAGUCUGUAAUCUGCCUCAAAGAUGUUCAAAAACUUACAUUUUAAGCAGUAAACCAUCUAAGCUAACAGGCUGCUAAUUUUCUUUAACUCGGUUGCCAGUGUUGGUUGUAUAGUGAGUUGCUAUAAUUAAGAGGAACCUGUUUAUCUGGUGUAAUCACCUUGUUUAUGUGAGUAAUUCUUUCCUGCUGUGACAUGCUUACAUAAAUUGUAUACCUUCACAUUGUCUUUGCCAGUUUGAUAUGAAACACAGUCAGAUUUAUUAGUUAUUCCUCCAUAGCUACCAGUAGUUAUAGGGGAUAGACUUACAGUCAUGCUAUUAAAUAAUAAGUGUCUGGUUUACCAACACCGAUUUAUUGGAGAAAGUAGGAGUUAAGUAAGCUAUACUGAGACUUGAAAAAGUAAAAACCUGAAAAACUAGAGAAAAAAUAAAUGUUGCAGUUUUUGCCAGUGACAUUUUCAUGACUUUGUCCACAAUGCACUGGAAAAAAAAGCAUUAGUUAUGCCCAAAAAGAGUCAUGCUCCAAGGACUGCUUUCGUGUGGACUGCAGCAUUUUGAAAAGGCUUUAAAGAUGGAGACAUGAAAGAUGAGCACAUCUGUUUGAAAACGCAACAUUUGCAUGAGCUUGAGUUAUUUGAAUUUAAAUUCCCCUCAUUUCAUGGCUCUCCACAAACAUGCAACUGUAAAAAUGCUGAAGGUGUCUGUUGUAUUCAAACUAUGGAAGGAUACAGAAUGUCCUAUUAGAGUUGGGCAAGCAGCUACGGUGUAUUUCCAUAUUUGUUAUUGCUUUGGUCCAAAUGACUUGUUUUCCUCUCUGAAGGAGAUCAAUCUGUUUGGUGUUGAUAUUAACUGAAACUAAUGCUGCCUGGUUAUUUUGUUGUUGUGUUUGUUUGGCAGUUCCACCCCUCACCGUAACAUUGCAUCUGAUAGAAGAGGCGAGGGAGCUUACCAGAAAGGAUUCAUGGCCUUUCCAAAAACUGCCCCUGGCCUCUCCACCUUCUGUUUGUGCAAUCACACGGAGGGUCCACUACAUUAAGCAGCUGACUGUGUGAGUAUUUAGUGGAGUAAUUAUUGAAUCUUACUGAUGUUUGUUCAUGAAAAGUGUUUAUUAUUUUGUGACAUAGUUAUACAAAGCUUCCACAGAGGUGAAGGGAGUCCGCCCCAAAGCUUGCAGCUGAAUCUGAUUCUUAUAUGUUGAUGAGGCGAGCUUCACUCAGCUCUGAGUGGGACUUCAAACAGAAAGUCCCUCUGAUCAGAGAAAGGGCCAUAGUCUCAAAAGUUUCACUUUUUUAUUUCGACAAGCUCAUAACAAUCACAGUGCAGAUGUCUUCUGCCUCUCCUUAAGCCUAAAAAGAGCAGAACUUUUUUUUUGUUUUGGUGCUUACCUGCUGAAUUCUGCGACAUAACAUGCAGAUUUAAAAUGUCAAAAAAACAACCUCAAGUGCUCCACAAUUUUAUUCAAAUUAGCCAUGCCCCAUAGAAACAGCUGUCAUGUGAUUAACCAAUGACCGAUUCUUCCCAGAGUGAAGAAUUAUUACCAUUUACACAGCACACAUGACUGUAGUUUACCAAUGAAGACAACAACUUCCAUGAUUUCACACUUUGUAUCAUCCUUAGACUUUGACUUUCAUUUGCAUUUUGAUUGAAAGCCUCUUUGUAGCAGUAUUUGUUUAAAGCAGUGAAAGUCUCUACAUAUAGGAAGACAACUCAGAACCCCUAAAUUUGAUUGAGUCCCAUAUACUGCUGCAUCCUAUAUUCUGGAUUUCUUGUUUGUACCUAAAAAGUCAGAAAGUCAUGUCUACAGUGAGCACCUUGUCUGUAGUAACUCUCCCUCACUCACUCUUUCAGCAGAAGGAGAAUUUAAAAUAUGGAUGAUGACAUCCUGGUAACCUGCUGGAAAAAUCCACAUGGCUCCAGGAAAUGUCAUAAAAUUCACCUUCAGUUCAGUUUCUACACUCUUCAACUGCAUCACUGCCUACUCCUUACAGUUACCUUUCAAAAUGUCAAAAUAAAGAAACC